AUUUUGAAUCUACUUGUUUUAAUUGUGGAAUAGUUGGCCAUACUCCUAAUGCAUGCUAUGUUAGAAAUUUUAGCAUAGCAAGUGGGCAUUAUGUAUGGGUAAAGAAAGGAACUAAUUAUGAAGGACCCAAAGUAAUUUGGGUACCUAACAAAACGUUUGUUUUGUAGGUAUGCUUGAAAACCACAUCAAACCUUUGGUAUCUUGAUAGUGGUUGUUCCAAGCAUUUGACGGGAGACAUUAGCAAAUUUUCAAAUCUAGCAUUAAAGGCCAAGGGUUAUGUCACUUACGGUGAUAACCAAAAAGGGAGAAUUCUUGGUAUAGGCAAAGUUUGAGCAGCACCUUUCAUAUCCAUUGAAGAUGUCCUUUAUGUUGAAGGACUAAAGCACAAUCUUCUAAGCAUUAGCCAAAUUUGUGACAAAGGCUUCAAAAUCAAGUUCACCAAGGAUGAAUUCUUGAUUGAAGAUGAAUUAUCUCAUAAGGUAAAACUCAAAGGUACGAGAUUUAAUAAUAUAUUUAUGAUUUCCCUCAAUGAUGUGUCUUUGAAGGUAAAAUGUCUUAUGGCAAACAAUAAUGAGUCUUGGCUUUGGCAUAAAAGAUUCGCUCAUAUUCAUAUGGAACAUUUGAAUAAACUAAUAAAGCAUGAUCUUGUUAUUGGAUUGCCUAAGAUAAAGUUUGUCAAAGAUAGAUUAUGUGAUGCAUGUCAAAAGGGAAAAAACCAAAUCAACUUUCACAUCAAAGAACGUGGUGUCCACUACAAGGCCAUUACAAUUGUUGCAUAUGGACUUAUUUGGUCCAUCAAGAACAAGAAGCUUCGGAGGUAAUGUGUAUCCUUUAGUUAUUAUUGAUGAUUUCUUUAUAUACACUUGGACAUUCUUCUUAGUGAAGAAAAGUGAUGCAUUCAAGGCGUUCAAGAAAUAUGCAAAGCAAAUUCAAAAUGAGAAAUGUCUAUCUAUUGCCUCCAUAAGAAGCGACCAUGGUGGAGAAUUCCAAAAUGCCUCCUUCGAAGAGUUUUGCGAAGAACAUGGAAUAUUUCAUAAUUUCUCGGCACCAAGGACACCUCAACAAAAUGGAAAGGUGGAGAGAAAAAAUAGGUCACUUGUGGAACUUGCAAGAACAAUACUUAGCGACUCAAAUAUUCCAAAGUAUUUUGGGGCGGAUGCGGUAAGCACAACAUGCUAUAUAAGUAACAGAAUUAUUAUUAGACCUAUCUUGAAAAAGACCCCCUAUGAACUCUUCAAAGGAAGGAAACCAAACAUCUCUUACUUUCAUAUAUUUGGAUGCAAAUGCUUUGUCUUAAACAAUGGCAAAGACAACCUUGGUAAGUUUGAUGAAAAUUCCGAUGAAGGUAUUUUUCUUGGGUAUUCCAUCUCUAGUAAAGCAUAUAGAAUUUAUAAUAAACGAACUUUAACUAUUGAAGAAUCUACGCAUGUUUCUUUCGAUGAAACUAACCAUCCCAAGGAGGAUGUUGCUUUGUGUGAUGAUGAUGAUAAUGUAGAUCCUCAAGAAGAUACUUUCAAAGGCAUCAAUGAUAAUCAAAUGGAACAUCAUGAAGAACCAAUUCAACAAGACUCAAAUGCGAAUCAUCUACCUAAAGAAUGGAGAACUCAUAGAGAUUAUCCAAUUGAUAAAGUCAUUGGUGAUAUUAGUCAAGGCGUUGCAACAAGAUUAAAUCUCAAAGAUGCAUGCUUAAAUAUGGAGUUUGUUUCACAAAUUGAACCUUCCAAAGUUGAUGAAGCCAUAGGAGAUGACCAAUGGAUAGUUGCUAUGCAAUAAGAGUUAAACCAAUUUGAAAGGAAUCAAGUUUGGGAACUUGUCCCUAGGCCAAGUGGUAAGCACAUCAUAGGUACCAGAUGGGUGUUUAAGAAUAAGCUUGAAGAGAAUGGUAUAAUUGUUCGAAACAAGGCAAGGUUGGUGGCCCAAGGAUACAAUCAAGAGAAAUGCAUUGAUUUUGAAGAAACAUUCGCUUCGAUUGCAAGGUUAGAAGCUAUCAGUUUAUUACUUGCUUAUGCAUGUUCAUUAAACUUUCAGUUAUUCCAAAUGGAUAUCAAGAACGCCUUCUUGGAUGGCUACAUCAAUGAAGAAGUCUAUGUCAAACAACCCCUGGGCUUUGAAGACUUCAAUAAUCCUUCACAUGUUUUCAAGUUGAGGAAAGCUCUUUAUGGCCUAAAGCAAGAGCAUGGUACGAUCAUCUCAGCAACUUUCUUUGUGAAAAGGGAUUUGAAAAAGGUAAAGUUGACAAGACCUUGUUUAUUAAGAAAAUAAAAGGUAACACUUUCUUGGUUCAUGUCUACGUUGACGACAUCAUAUUCAGCUCAACAAACAAUGAAAUGUGUGAAGAAUUUUCUUCAAUGAUGUAAGGAGAAUUAAAAAUGUCCACGAUGGGUAAGAUGAACUAUUUUCUUGUACUCCAAAUUAAGCCACUAAAGGAUGGAAUCUUCAUCAAUCAAUCAAAGUACUGCAAAGAGUUAUUGAAAAGAUUCGACAUGGAUAGUUGCAAGGAAAUGUCUACUCCAAUAGGAUCCGGAUUUUAUGUUGAUCAAGAUGAAUCAGGUGUUUCAAUUGACAUCACAAAGUAUCGAGGUAUGAUUGGUUCCUUACUUUAUUUGACGGAAAGUCGUCCUGAUAUAAUGUUCAGUAUGUGUAUUUGUGCGUGUUUUCAAGCCAAUCCAAAGGAAUCGCAUCUCACCGCUGUUAAAAGGAUCAUGAAGUAUCUCAAAGGAACAACAAAUGUCAGCCUAUGGUAUCCUAAAGGUAGUAAGAGCACCAGGUGCAUGCCACAUUCUUGGAAAUGCACUAGUAUUGUGGGCUUGCAAGAAACAAGCAUGUGUUUCCCUUUGCACUACCAAAGCGGAAUACAUAGCAGCAGAUAGUUGUUGUGCUCAAAUACUUUGUCUUAAGCAACAACUUUGUGACUAUGGACUCAAUAUUGGAUGCAUUCCUCUAUGUUGUGGCAACACAAGUGCAAUAAACAUUACAAAGAAUCCGGUCAUGCACUCAAGAACCAAACAUAUCGACAUUCGGCAUCAUUUUCUUCAUGAUCAUGUGCUUCAAGGAGAUGUCGAAGUCACAUUUGUGAAUACUCAUAAUCAACUCGCCGACAUCUUCACAAAACCAUUAGCAUGAGAAUCAUUUUACAAAAUUCGAAGGGAACUUGGGAUUUUAGAUGAUUGUGACAUUUGAUUCUUCAAAAACUAUUCAAUUCAAAUACAAAGGUACACUCUCUUCUUAUCCAAUAUAUUAUAUUUUUAAAUGUAUAUAUGUAUUUUCUUAGAUGAGUUUGAAGAAAAAGUCAAUUUUGUAUGUCCUUACAAUGCUUGUAUUACUUGUUUGCCUCACAUAAAGUUGCCAAGGGAUAUGUUAGAUCAUGUGUACUUGUUGACUUUUUAAAAUUCAUUGCAUGGCGAUCUUGGUGAAGUCACUGUUUUUAUCUUAAGGUAAUCUAUUACCACUUUAGGUGUAAUUGAUUACAUCACUAAGUAUGUGAUUCACUACUAUUUCUGUUUAUGAGGUAAUUGAUUACCACUUUGGGUGUAAUCGUUUACAUCACUAUUACGUGACUCCUUGUUGUCUAUGUUCUAUGGUGUAAUCGAUUACACCUCCCUGGGUAAUUAAUUACAUCUGAUCGUUUCAUAUUUUUUAAUUAAAUUUGUGUCAUUUGGAUAAGUGUUUUUUUUGUUAAAUAUUUAUACUAAAUGUUUUUACAACUCUCAUUUAUCACUUUCCAAUAUUCUCUUCCUCUAAACCCCUUCACUCUUCAUCUACCCUAAACCUUUAAACUUCUUCUCUCUCAUUUAUCUUCAUUAAACUCCAUUAAAACCCCACUUACAAACCUUUCUAUAUUUUCCAGUCUCUCUUUUCCAAACUCCUUCCAAACCCCAAACCGAAAAUCCUUUCUAAAAACCCUAACUUUUCCAUCUCCCAUGGCUCCAUCAAGGAAAGAUAAAGGAAAACCCCAAAUUGAUGAAGGUUGCUCAGAACAUCAAGAAUCUUCUCAACAUGCUCCAUCCCUCAAAACCAGGAGACUUAGGUUUGAUUUUCGGAAUCGGUCCCCUAUACUAGUGAAAUAUGGUAGCCUCUCCUCUUUCCCUUCUCAUAGUUUUGAUUUUCCGGAACUUUUGAGACGACAAAAAGUAUACUCUAUGGUUUUCGACUGUGGAAAUUUUUACCCAGAUUUGGUUAAAGAUUUUUAUGCAAAUUUGGUUGUUAUUCCUGGUGAUAAGCAUGUCCUAACUUCUAAGGUUAAGAAUACUAAAAUUAACUUGGAUUUAGAAGCUUUUGGGGUCUGUUUGGGAAUUCCGUAUAAGGGUCAAUCUUUUCAUCAUGGUUUCGUCCCCGAAUGGGAAGGUUAUAGUAAGAUGGACUAUUUCUUUCAUAUAUGGUGUGUCUCUCAGCAAGCUAUUAUUGGUAAGAAGAAUUCAGCCUCUUCCCGGGUACUUCUGUUUUCAAAGAAUUUGACCAUCAGUGAUAGGAUGCUUCAUUACUUGAUGCCUUAUGUUUUGAUGCCUAAACACUCAAAUCACUCUCAAAUUGGUGAUUUGGAAUUACAACUUAUGUAUGACAAAAAAAAUAAGAUUCAGGUUAAUUGGGCAUAUACCAUAAUGUACCACAUAAAUCAUCAACAAUCCCUAACUGAUGGAUUACCCUAUGCUAGGCUAAUCACCAAAAUCUUGGAAGGAUGUGGUAUUAAUCUGAAAAGGGAACCAGAGAAGAAGAUGACUACAAGAGAAUGUGAAAUCAACGCUUCAACAUCGGUUCGGAAUACCAAUAUCUUUUUGGACAUGAAUGGUAUGUAUAAAUACAAGGAUGAAUCCUCAACCUCUUCAAAUGCUACUCCACCGGCUCCGGAAGGUGGAUAUCCAAAUGAAGUCCUCUAUAAUAAAAUCUGCUCAGUUGAGACUAGCAUGAUGAAAAUUUAUCGUGAGCAAAAAUUUGAAAUGGAUUCUAUCAAAAGACUUUUGGAAAACCUUACCAAAACCUAAAACCCGGAUAUGAGUGAUGAAUAAGAAAGUGAUGAAGAUCAAGGAGAAUAUGAUGAGGAUAUGGGAAUGUCGGAAAGUGACUAAAGUGUUUUAAAAAUAACUAUUAUAUUUUUUUUCGUGUUUUCUUUUGUUAUGCUGAAUUUUUCUGUUUAGAAUUAUGUUUUAAUUAUUAUGAACAAUUUGGUUUUGUAUUAAAUCAUGUGUGUUAUGGUUAUUUUGCUAUUUGUGUAUGUGUCCAUAUUAUUUACCUUAUCAUCAUACAACAUGUAUGUGUUAUAUUGUUUUCGUCUUUCCCAUCCUCUUUGCUAAUGAAAAAGGGGGAGAAGAUGUAUUUUUGGUUGUUGUAUAUUGUUUGUCUCUCUAACAAUGUAGCUAGAAAAUCACUUUAAAAAUCCCAAUCUUGGAUCAAGGGGGAGCUGUAGCAGUAAAUUCAUGACCAUUAAGUUAUGGAUAAACUUAACGUCAAUAAAACCAGAGUCGCCACCGCACUUUUAUUGUUUCCAAAGGAAAAGGGAAAAAUACGAACAAAACCCAAAGAUAAGAAUUUUUCAAAUCAAAACUAAUAAAAUGCUAGAGAUUAUAGGUAAGGGGGUUGGUUACACAAAGGGAAGGUGUUAGCACCCAAAGUGUCCUAGGUACUCCUAGGGGACCCUUUUUUAUGUGUAUGUGUUUUCGUAUAAAAGAUGUUUGCAAUAAAUAGAGUGGGGGUGAGAAAAUAAUUCAUUAAUCAUAUUUUUGUGUUUGACAAGACCUUCGGAAUUGUGUCUACGUACCAACAUAAAAAUGAGGGAUUAAAACCUCGUAGUUCGUGGUAACAAUUUCAAAGUGAGUUGAUUUCUUUUAACAAAAGUUUAAGUUUUAGAAGAGGCACAAACGGCCUAAAAGAGUUUGAAUGGGUGUUAGUUCAUUUUGUAUUUUGAAAAUUUAAGUCAAGUAUGGUUAAGUUCAUUUACACGUUUGAUUAAGAAAAAUGAGUUAAAUAAUACAAUGGCAUAAGGCCAAAGUUUCUAAUUUGCAAUAAAGUCAAGGUUUAGAAAUCACAAGCAAAGAAGGUUUUGAAAGAGGGGAGAGAUUUGAAAUUUAAGAAGUGGGAGGAGAUGAAGAGACUAAUCCUAAGCAAAAAAUUUGAAAGUUAAGAGUUGAAAAGGUAUUACCAAUGGGAUGCAAUCCAAUAGACAAGAAUGUCAUAUAGAAACCCACUUUUCCUUUUGGACUUUGAAAUCGAGGAAUAUCAAUAAGCAAGUAAGAUGAAGAGCAAUGCAUCAAAUAAAGAUAGCUACAUCCAAGCUAGCAACUUCAUAGUCUUCUUCAAAAUCUCUCAUGUAUCAGAUGACAUACUCUUUGAAUGGCUCAAAAAUAGGCACUAGACACAGGUUCAAAGUAACAUUUGCAUCAAGACCAUGUAGCAGAUGAACUCAAGAGGGAUCUCAAUACUUGCAUCAGAUGAAAGUUCAAUUCACAAUGACUUGGCUUCAGAAAAGUCAUCAAGACCAUGUAGCAGAUGAACUCAAGAGGGAUCUCAAUACUUGCAUCAGAUGAAAGUUCAAUUCACAAUGACUUGGCUUCAGAAAAGUUGGCAUUGGCCAAGUCCUUUUGCAUAGGGAAUGUUGCCUAAUUCUAAGUCCAAGUCUCAGAUCAAAUCCAACAAUCCACACAAACAUUUUUUAGGGUUUUUGUUGUUAUUAUGUACAUUAAGGUCCUAAGACCACAAACACAAACAAAAUACACUAAUAAAUAUAUACAAUCACAAUAUAAUCAUAAUAUAUGGCUCAAAUGAGCAAAGUAAGAAUGGCAUUAACAUAAACAAGUUAAAUGGUAUGUAUAAUGGCAAAUGAUAAAAGAUCUUGAUUUUAAAGAGCAUAAGGUAAAUGACUUGAAAUUAAAAGUUAGUCAAAUGUUAGUUGAUUAGAUGUUAGUAUUGUUUUUACUUUUCAAUUUGUUUAAGUCAUUCUUUGGAGAACACUCAAUCCACUAUUCACAAGCAUGGAUCCUUGAACCAAGACAUCUUCCAAAGGAAGGAAAAAAGACCAAGUUUCCAUACAAUACCAGGAAAGGGGGAGACAUACAAUCUCACUUACUAGAAUACUAUCCUUUCGGGUCAAAAUUUAGUGUUAUGUUAAGCAAUCGUAAUUGGACUUAUGUAGAAGUCACAACUUUCUGAGGUCGGGAAAUAGAAAUUUUAGUGUUAAUGCAUGUUAGAGAUAUGGUAUAAUAAACCAUACUCCUAAAACAUACCACACUUAAAAGAAAAUGGCAAAAGGGUGGACCUAAUCUCAUCCAUAUGUGUAUUAGUUUAUCAACCAAUUAGCCUUAGGAUGUAGAGAUAUCAUAGGUCAAUGGAAUGAAUGGGAUAAGAGAAGAUUGAAGAUGAAGAGGGAGGGGUAAAUGAGACAAACUCAAAUUGGACAAGGGAAGGAUUUUAUCAAAUUAAAAUCAUUCAUUCAUUUUGGGAGAUGAAAUGUACAUUUCAUUAAUCCUCUAAAUCCAAUGAUUUUAAUCCAACAAAGUCAAAUCAACAUUGACCAAGGCCCAAGUACAAUAGUCAAACUUCACAAGUCAAUAAAAAUAGCUCAACAUAAUUUAUUCACAAUUAAACAAUUAAAAAUCAAUUAAAAAUGCAUUAAAUUAAAUUAUGAUUGAUCAAAAACCUAAAACCUCUUCAAAACACCAAAUAAAUGGCUAAGAGACUUAUCAUAGGUCAAACAAGGUCAAAGGACCUUGGAGAAAAAAUUUCAUUAUUUUUGGAAAUGCAAAAGUAUUUUUAAACAAUUAAAAAUAUGCACAAAAACAAUUAAAUCAUGAAAAACAUUAAUAUUGAUCCAAAAAAUAAUUUUAAUUUAGAAAAUGAAAGAGAAAAAUAUUUGAUUUUUUUUGUGAAAGUCCCAUAUUUUUUGGAUCAAUAUUAAAAUUAAUAUGAAUUAAUGAAAACAAAGCAAUUAAAAUGAAAAUUAGAAAUUAAAAAAAUACGUGGACCAUCUUAUCUCCCUCAUUAAUUGAGGUGGCAGAUUAGAUGGUCCCUAGCACGCGUUCCAUGUGGUCUUGAGUCAACUGCGCUGCAGAUGUGGUAAUUAAAACCAACGCCUAAGAUUAAAACAAAAUGAAUGGAUCAUGUGGUCCAGAGACUUGCCAACGCAUCGCCGGAGCCAGAGCUCUGGUGGACCUCACCAGACUGAUGCACCUUCAACCAUCACAAAAAUUAAAAAUCAAGACAUGGAUUUAAAGAAAAAAUGCUCAGGAGCUCGAAUCUGGCCUCAAUUUUGUCUAACUCCAAGUAUAUAGGAAGAUACAAGGAGUUGAAUUUUGAGAAUCACGAUCUGAGUUGCUUCGAUUUGACCUCUAAGCAACUCAAUCUUGUUACCUACAUUGAUAGGACUUCAGACAACCAAGAAUCAACAUGGAGAAAUAAGAGAGAAUCGAAGAGUGGAAAAAUCUGGAAAUUCACCUUCAAUGGAGCUUCAUAUUGGCACGAUCUUGCUCUCAAUUAUGCUUAGCCUUACUUCUGAUGCUUAAUGGAGUAGAAUAUUCGUCACUGACUAAGGUGAACAUAUUAAGGAUACACUCAAAGGGGAGAAUAUUUGUCAUCGAUUAAGAUGAACAUAUCAAGGAUAGACUCACCUGGGGACAUUAGGAAGAAUAUCCGUUACCGGUUAGGGUAAACAUAUCAAGGAUAAACUUCCUGAAAAAGAAGGGUAGGAAUUAUAUCUUAUCGGCUACUGGAUAGAAUACCAGAGAGAGAAUAUAUGUCAUCGGUUAAGAUGAACAUAUCAAGGAUAGACUCUGAGGGGAGAAAUAGGAAUUACAUCUAUCAGUUACUGGAUAGAAUACUAGAAAGAGAAUAUUUGUCAUCGGUUAAGAUGAACAUAUCGAGGAUAGACUCUGCAAAAGGGGAAGCAUGAUUUACAACUACCGGUUACUAGGCAGAAGACCGCAAAGAAGAGGAAAUCCGUCACCGGUUAGGAUGAACAUAUCAAGGAUUAACCUUAUGGGGAACAAAAUAGGGAUUACAACUACCUUUUUACUGGGUAGAAUACCAAAAUAAGAAUAUCUAUCAUCGGUUAAGAUGAACAUAUCAAGGAUAAACUCAGAAGGGAAAGAGUAUUCGUCAUCAGUUAAGAUGAACACAUCAAGGAUAAACUUCCUGGGAGACAUGAAAACGAAUCCGCUGGGGAGAAAGGGCUACUUUUGUCGGGUAUUGGGGAAGAAGUGAAAUACUUGCAAAUUGAGAAGAAUAUUACCAGUUAUUGGGUAAUAUACUCUCAAGGGACCAAAAGCAUCUCUCUAGGUAAGAUCUAGGAAGAAACGGUCAAUCAAAGACUCAACCCAAUGAGGAUAUAACUCAGGGGGAGUGAUUCCAUCCAGAUAACCAACUGGGGAGAAAACUAAAAUAAUGAUCAUCCAUGAGGAAAUAACCAAGUGGGGAAUGAGAAAGGUUAAAUUCUUUCUACUUAAAGGGUGACACUCUACAAUUGAAAUAGGACAGACACACCAAAUCUGUGUGGGGGGAAAGGAUACCACCGUAGCAGAGGAUCAGAGAAAUAGUGAAACACAAAGUGCAUUAUUAAUGCAAUAAUAAAAUCUAUGAAUGUAUGUGUAUAUCUAUAUGUAUAUACGAUGAUUAUGCUGACAAAACAAUCAUAAAUGAUACAAAUUUCAUUGGUAUGCAUCACCAAUACAAUACUUAUCCAAUCCUCACAGGAGGGAAGCAUCUUCUGCAAAGGAAAGAACAUGAAUCAUCUAUCUCGAAGGCCCAACCCUGGCUGCGGAAAAGGUUUGCCGAAAAACUGCAGUAUCAACUAUGCGGGGAAUUUCAGGUUAAUACCACAUUAAAUGGGAGACAACCUUGCAGAGGACUGAAAAUACUGCUCAAGAGUCAGGGCUAACAAAGGUCAUGGAUAACUUUGCUGGCGACUUUAGGGGAAACAAAGUUUGCUAAAUUUAUGCAACCUGUUGCGAUAAUGCGCCUACAACUCGAGGGAGGCAAUUACGAACUCAUCUAGGAAAAGAAAAAAAACUCGGCUGGAGAUGCUGAAAUGCUGCUAGGGAAGAAACAAAAAUCAAACCAACUUCUUGGGGUAAACCAACAAUGUUUCGCAUUUUAGGGCUUACCAUUUCUCGGACCGCUGUGGAUAUUUCUUAAAUGAAAUCGAUUGCUCUUUAAAAAUUAAUUGCUUUUAUUAUUUAAGAAAACAUGAUUUUUGUUUUAAAUUUUAAUUUCAAAAUGAUCACAAUAAAAUUUAAUUCCAUUUAGCUGAAUAAAUAAGAGUAGAAACAAUUGGAUAAAAAGUUCAACUGUAUUUAAUAGAAUGGUAGUCUGUAAAUGACAAGACUCCAUAGAUCUUUAAAAAAGUUUGAAAAAUGGUAAUUUACAUGGAAAAGGGCUACAUUGAAUACAAUGAUCACUAAUCCUUCGACCGCCUUCAAUAUCCACGGUGCUCUUGGCUUUGGCUGAAGAUGAAUCAGAACCAAACAUUGUGCUCAAGAAAGUCUUCAAGACUAGAGAUCAACAGCUUGUAGUUACUUGCCAUAAUCCUUAAUUUUUUUGCAUAAAUUGCCCCAAGGUGGGGUACUCAAUUUAUCGGGAUAAUUUUUCUGUUUUAUGUCUCUAACUUUUGCUUGGAUCGCCCUUUCGAGUCUUCAAUCCACUGAGACGCUCAUUUUUUGCAUAAGCCGUCCUUUCGGGUUUUCAACUUAGCGGGCUGUUCUUUUCUUUUUAGGCGAAGUAUUUCUUGACUGCAUCAGCAUUCACAGGACGCGUGAACUCUUCACCAUCCAUAGUUGUAAGAAUCAAAGCACCACUUAAAAAGGCUCUCUUAACAACAUACGGGCCUUCAUAAUUAGGAUUCCAUUUGCCCCUAGAAUCUGGUUUGAAGGAUAAAAUAUUCUUGAGCACAGGGUCACCUUCUCUGAAUACACGAGGCCUGACCUUCUUAUCAAAAGCUUUCUUCAUUCGCUGCUGGUAUAACUGACCAUGACACAUGGCAGUUGACCUCUUCUCUUCAAUUAAAUUCAGCUGGUCAUACCUGGUUUGACACCAUUCAGCUUCUGUCAACUUGGCUUCCAUCAGCACGCGCAAUGAUGGAAUCUCAACUUCUACCAGGAAUACAACUUCCAUGCCACAAACAAGUGAGAAAGGGGUUGCCCCUGUUGAAGUGCAGUUGGAUGUACGGUACCCAUGCAAAGCAAAUGGGAGCAUCUCAUGCCAAUCUUUGUACGCCACAACCAUUUUCUGAAUGAUUUUCUUGAUAUUCUUGUUUGCAGCUUCAACAACCCCAUUCAUCUUAGGUUUGUAGGGAGAAGAAUUAUGGUGUGCAAUCUUGAAGUCUUUGCAAAGAGCUUCCACCAUAUUAUUGUUCAAGUUAGAUCCAUUAUCAGUAAUGAUCUUACUUGGCACACCAUAACGGCAUAUAAUCUGAUUCUUGAUAAACCUCACAACUUGCUUGGUUACAUUUGCAUAUGAUGCCGCUUCAACCCACUUUGUGAAGUAAUCAAUAGCCACUUAAAUGAAACGAUGUCCGUUCGAAGCUUUAGGCUCAAUCAUGCCAAUCAUAUCAAUUCCCCACAUGGAGAAGGGCCAUGGAGAGGAAAUGACAUUCAACAGUGUCGGAGGAACAUGAAUCUUAUCUGCAUAGAUUUGACACUUAUGGCAUUUCUUCACAAACUUGCAACAGAUAGAUUCCAUUGUCAGCCAAAAGUAACAUGCUCUCAACACCUUCUUUGCCAUAGCAUGUCCAUUGGAGUGAGUACCAAAGGAACCUUCAUGGACUUCAGUCAUCAAUAAAUUUGCUUUGUGUCUAUCCACACAUCUGAGUAGAACCAUAUCGAAGUUUCUCUUGUAAAGCACAUCACCAUUCAGGUAGAAGUUGCCAGCUAACCUUCUCAAAGUCUUCUUAUCUUUCAAAGAUGUCCCAGACGGGUAAAUCUGACUUUGGAGAAAACACUUGAUAUCGAAAUACCACGGCUUUUCAUCCUUGAUCUCUUCAACAGCAAACACAUGAGUUGGCCUAUCAAGACGUAUCACAGUCAAAUUAGAAACUUUGUUCCAAUUCUUCACCACAAUCAUUGAUUCCAACAUUGCAAGAGCAUCUGCCAUCCGAUUUUCAUCUCGAGGGAUAUGAUGAAAUUCAACCUUUGUAAAUAAAUUUGAAAUCCUCCUCGCGUAAUCUCUAUAUGGUAUCAAACCGGGUUAAUUCGUCUCCCAUUCACCUUUGAUCUAAUUCACAACCAAAGCUGAAUCUCCAUAGACAUCCAAAUACUUGAUUCUGAGAUCAAUGGCCUCUUCAAGCCCCAUAAUUCAAGCUUCAUACUCAGCCAUAUUAUUGGUACACUUGAAAGUCAAUCUAGUUGUAAACGGAAAAUGAGUUCCUUGAGGAGUAAUAAUCACUGCCCCAAUGCCAUUACCAUACUAAUUAACAGCUCCAUCAAAUACCAUGCCCCAACGAGAACCGGGUUCUGGCCCUUCUUCAAGCAAUGGUUCAUCGCAAUCUUUCAUCUUCAACUAUUAGAUCUCUUCAUCAGGAAAAUCAUACUGCACUGACUGAUAAUCUUCAAUAGGUUGGUGUACCAAAUGGUUAACCAAGACACUACCUUUAAUUGCUUUCUGAGAUCGGUAUUCAAUAUCAUACUAUGAUAACAACAUCUGCCAAUGGGCAACCCUCCUAGUUAAAGCAGGCUUCUCAAAAAUAUACCUCAUUGGAUCCAUUUUGGAUAUCAACCAAGUGGUAUGAUUUAACAUAUAUUGACGCAGACGUUUAGCAGCCCAAGCCAAUGCGCAACAAGUCUUUUCAAGCAUAGAAUACCGAGUCUCACAGUCGGUGAACUUCUUACUCAGGUAGUAAAUAGCAUAUUCUUUCUUUCCAGUUUCAUCUUGCUGACCAAGAACACAACCCAUACUUUCAUCAAGCAUAGUCAGAUACAUGAUCAACGGUCUUCCUUCAACAGGUGGAGACAGAAUCGGUGGCUCAAGCAGAUAUUCUUUGAUACUGUCAAAAGCUUUCUGGCAAUCAUCGGUCCAAUCACAAGACUGAUCUUUCUAAAGAAGCUUUAAUAUAGGCGCACAUGUGGCAGUCAUAUGCGAUAUAAAUCUCGAGAUAUAAUUCAAGCGGCCAAGAAAACCUCUGACUUGCUUCUCAGUUUUUGGUGUUGGCAUCUCUUGUAUUGCUUUGACCUUGGUAGAAUCAACUUCAAUACCUUUCUCACUGACAAUAAAGCCCAACAACUUACCAGAACGAACACCAAAAGUACACUUAUUGGGAUUCAAGCGAAGUUUGUACUUCCUCAAACGCUGGAAUAGCUUUAACAAAUGCUCAAUAUGUUCUUCUUCAUCACUUAAUUUAGCAAUCAUAUCAUCAACAUAGAUUUCAAUCUCUUCAUGCAUCAUAUCAUGAAAAAGAGUGGUCAUUGCUCUCUGGUAUGUUGCCCUAGCAUUCUUUAAACCGAAAGGCAUCACUCUAUAGCAUAAUGUUCCCCAGGGUGUAAUGAAUGUGGUCUUCUCCAUAUCCUCGAGUUCCAUUUUAAUCUGAUUAUAACCGGAAAAAUCCAUCCAUAAACGAAAAGACUUUGAAUUUAGUUGUAUUGUCUACCAACAUAUCAAUGUGUGGCAGAGGAAAAUCAUCUUUCGAACUAGCUUUGUUCAAAUCUCUAUAAUCGACACACAUACAUACUUUUCCAUCUUUCUUCGGAACAGGCACAAUGUUGGCCACCCAUUACGGAUACUCAACAGUAACAAGGAAGCCAACAUCAAUCUGCUUCUGCACUUCUUCUUCGAUCUUCACUGCCAUAUCAGGAUGAGUCCUCCUUAACUUCUGCUUGACUGGCGGGCAUUCUGGCUUCAAUGGCAAUCUAUGCUCCACAAUCUCAAAAUCUAAAUGAGGCAUGUCUUGAUAGGACCAAGCAAACACAUCUGAAUACUGUCGAAGAAGAUCAAUCAACCCCUUCAUAACCUCUAGACAUAGCUGAGACCCAAUCUUGACUUCCUUCACAUCAUCCUCGGAACCCAAGUUGACUAACUCAAUCUGCUCUUCGAACGGCUGAAUGGCUUUUUCCUCGUACUCAAGUAGACGAGACAAUUCAUCAGACACUUCUUCAUCACUUUCUUCUUCAGCCUCAAACACAGAGAAUUCAAAGUUUAGAGGAGGAGUAGGAUCAUUGUAUUCAAUGUGUUUAGAAAUCAACCUGCGUAAUAAUUUGAUAUUUUGAUUUUAGAGAAGUGAAUUGUAACCAAAUAUUAUGCAGAUGGACAAUUAUUAUUUACUUAUUUAUGUUUUUUGUGAUUACCAUUUUCAAAAAAGCAAAAAAGUAAAAUAAAACAUCAUAGAUGUGGAUGAAUAGAAUUGCAUUUUAUUAAUGAUCAAUUUGAAAGAUGCCAAACAGUGUUCACUUCUCCCUUAGGCAUAGGAGAAGGAUUUUCAAAAACAAUAAAGCAAUUACUUAGAGCGAUGAACAAUAACAGGAACAUCGACAACGAUCCAAUUGUUGCAAGCUUUUCCAUGCGUCAUAAAAUUGGUCCAGUCUUCAUCUUCAUUAUCCUCGAUCACUGCAGCUGAGUGUUGUUCAUUAUCAUGAAUGAACCCUCCGCUAUGGAAACUAGGUUGCACAUCUUCAACUUUCACUGCAGACGACCCUUAAUGAAAUCCUAAACCAGCAUGAUUCUUGUUCUCGGUGACCUCUACCAUCCGGCCCCAUUGAUCAGAACUACCAUCUUCAACAAUCUUCUGAGCGUGUUUAAAAGAGGACAUAGGUGCCCCAACUCUCUUUUCUUCAGCAAUAGAUAGAGCUUGGAACGGAGUUCCAAUCUCAUCCUCAGCUUCCAUAUAUGAGAAAGACGAUAGAUGACUCACCAACAGCGCUUUCUCUCCACCCACAAUGACGAGCUUACCAUUCCUCAUGAAUUUCAGUUUCUGAUGCAGAGUGGACAUCACAGCUCAUGCCUCAUGUAUCCAUGGUCUUCCUAACAAGCAGCUAUAGGCCAGGUGGAUAUCCAUUACCUGAAAAGUAAUUUGGAAAUCACUCGAACCUAUCUUUACUGGAAGGUCCACUUCUCCAAUAACCGUCUUGCGGGAACCAUCAAAAGCUUUGACAAUCACGCCAUUGUAUCUCAUAGGAGCGCCUUGGUAUGAUAAUCUUGACACAGUUGAUUUGGGGAGUACAUUCAACGACGAACUGGUAUCAACCAAUACAUUGGACAGUGCAUCCUCCUUGCAAUUCAUUGAUAUGUAUAGUGCCAUAUUCUGAUUUCUGCCCUCCUCGGGGAGUUCUUCAUCACAGAAGCUCAGAUUGUUGCAGGAAGUGAUGUUGGCCACAAUGUGAUCAAACUGAUCCACAGUUACAUCAUGCUCUACAUAAGCUUGCUCCAAUACCUUUUGCAAUGCUUCUCUCUGCACUUCAGAGUUCAUGAGCAGAGACAACACUGAAAUCUUGGAAGGAGUCUGGAGCAGUUGCUCCACCAUAUUGAAUUCACUUUUAUUAAUCAAACGAAGCACUUCAUCAUCAUCGUUAGGCUUCAAAUUGCUGGAUUCACCAGACUGACACUUUGGAGAACUACCUGGAUUUGCUACAGGCACUUCAACCUUCUUACCAACAUCCUCUACAUCCCUCGGGAAAACAGGACCAAAAACACGACCGCUAUGGAUCACCUUCGUUAUAUCGGCAAUAUUCACAACAUAAUUAGUCGUAGGCAAUGGGAACUCUUGACCAUUCUCCAAAAUUGUUGCAUUAUACUAAUACGGAACAACUCUAUCGGAUGCAUACGGGAUUGGGCCUGCUAACCAUAUUACUAACAGCGAUACCGAUCUGUUGACACUGUUACUGCUGCUGCUAUCAAACUCGAUUACCACCCGCUAAGGGGUCUUAAAGACUGGCACUAUCACGUUGACAUCAUCUAUAUCCCUUGACUGUUGAAUCUGUAUUACAUUCUCAUCCAUCAACUUCUAGACAUCUAUCUUGACAACCGAACACCCACGGGGGUUCACACUGCAGAUUGUACAACUUUCAUGGUCGUGUUCACAAUCACUAAUCGUACACAGGGUCUUGUGCAUUUCCACCAGAGACACUACGCCAAAAACUGGAAUAGACAGCGCACCUUAGAGGGCGCUUUCUUAAAAAAGCGCACUCUAAAGUGAAGAGAAAAAAUAAGGAGCGAACAACUGGAAUAGACAACGCACUUUUUUAACAAAAGCGCCCUCUAAAGUGAAGCGAAAAAAUAAUGAGGAAAUGGAGGACACCAAUAGGCGUAUGAAACGCCCUCUAAGGGUACCCUAAGAGGGCGCUUAAAAAAACGCUCUCUAAUUCCAUGUACAUUUCCAGUUUAUAGAUGCGCCUUUUGGAAGCCUUAAGAGCGCUUUUAGAAGCGCCCUCUAGGCCCCUUUAGAGGGCGCUUUUUUAACACACAGCCCCUCUAAGGUCCCUUUAGUAAACAUUAAAAUUAUAACAUAUAUUGCAUGUCUCUUUAUUUUCCCUCUCUAUAUGCUAUUUCGUUACGCGUAACUGAGUUUCUCUCCUACUGCGAUACUACUCGUCCUCCGUCGUCUCCCCCCUCACCGUCGUCGUCGCCGCGCCUUUUCUCUGUUGCGUCCCGUCACUGAGUUAUCGCGUCCACCGUCGCUGUUCACUUUCUUCUCCAUCGUUACCGUCACCUUGAAGGUAUUUCUCUCAAUAGUUGUAUUUCAGUGUUUGAUUAGGCGCUUUCUAAACUGAUUUACAUUUUGUUCAUUAUGUUGAUUAAUUGUUGUUUAGGGCAAAUGAGCACUAUAUGUGUUCAUGAGCACUUUGUGUAAGGUUUUUUAUUUUCUGAUUGAAAACUGAUGUCAUUUGGAGUGUGUUUGAGCUUGUGCUGGAAGUUUGAUGAUAAUGGAUGCAAGUUUGUUCAUGUUCCAAACACCAUAAGUUUGCAUUGAUCUUUUGUAGCAGUAGGUGUUGUGUGAGUUUGAUAUUCAAUAAUGAUGAAAAAAAGAGAGAGUUUAAGAUGUGUGUAACAUGAGAGAAAUGGAAGUAUUAUGAAUGUUUUUUUGUGUAGCUUCAACGAAAUGGUCAUUGUCUUACUUGGGUCUUAUUGAAUCAUUUCAUAUUACAAAUAAAAUUGCUAGUAACCAAGACGAUACCCAUUAACGCGAGUGGAUCACGUAACAUGUUUGAAAAAGAAAAUCAAACGAGAUUGACUGUUAUGAAUGUCAAUCAUUCGUGCAAGAGACAAGGUGAAAAAUUCGAAUAUAUGGGAGUGCUGAAGACCAACUAGAUUGAGCCUAACGGUUCAAUUGGCAAGUUCAUUGUUUCCUGUUCGGCAACAAUAUUCGAUUAAUGUGAUAAUUGGAGAAGUCCGGAAUUGAAGGUUGCAAAGAAAAAAUAUGGUCCAGAUACAGUACUUACCAUAUAUUGUUAUAUAUUUUUUGUGUGAUCUAUUGUUGACACAUAUAUUGUAUAAUAUUACUUAUAAUAACACAUCCAGUGUAUGUUUUUUAGAGAUCCUUUCACAUCGAUGAAAGCCGGCAAAAAAAUUGUAUUCAAUUGCCGGAAAAAGACUCCGAGGAUUUCGAUCCUUUUGUCAACAAAUUUCUCAAGGAUGAGGAAGAAAAAUUUGGUUGAAGCAAACGACCACAUGAAGUAUGGCGGAGAUUAUUUUCACCGAAGAAUGGAUACUUGUGUCGCCAAAACGAAGAAACGAAAAAUUCCAUGUAAUGUCUAUUAAUUAUGGUAUUAUACAAUUGUUAAUUACUGGUUCUGAUAUGCCUUAAAAACUUUUUUAUCCAGGAAGUAAGCGACAAAAAUCGGAAAAGGGCAUCAAAACCCGCGUAUCCGUACAAAAAGGGCGUACGGGAUAUGCACGGUAUACAACGAAGAAUUGUGAGUAUAUUCAAAUGCUAUGAGCUUAUACAUUGUCACAAUAUGUUAUAAUUGAUGAUCUUAUAAUCUGAUUAAUGUGAGCUAGCCGAGAGAAAAGUGACGCAACAUCUCUUCCAGAGCACGUAUUGUGAGCUGCUCGGUUGGGAAGGAUGGCUGUUCGUUGAAGCGGUUCAAAAUGUUUAUGACGAAUGUGUAAGUACAUGUAACUUAUUUUCUUUAAAUUAUAUCGAUAAUUUGUUAACAUAUAAUUCAUUUUAAUCUCUCUAAUAAUAUUUUCAGGAGACUUUAUCCACAAACCUUACCUUCAAGCCGGUCCAGGAUUGCAGGAGCGUACUUAGCUCGAGUACUAAAUGUUCCUGAUAUUCGGUCGUGUGAGGGGUAAGGGUUUGGUGUGACUCCGUCGUCAUUUUAUAAAAAACCAAAACAAAAAAUCACCAACCAAAGAGUGAUGGAGACCUUGGCGGAGUUAAGGGCACAUACAUCGAUACUGCAAAAGAGAACUGCCAAGUAUAGAGAGGGAAAGUCGGUUCCGAGGCAAGAUACUUAGUACCGAGCAGUGAUCAAUUGUCAACCGAAAUUUCCCAAGUAAUUAUAUAUGUUAUUAGAAAUAAAAAAGCACUUUUUUACUUGACAACAUAUACACUGGUUAACACAAUAACAUUUAUUAUUGGUUAGGGGCACUUACAUACUUGUCAGCUGUAUCUAUCGCAACCAAACGUUAUCGCAAGUUGGCAAGGGAAAACUGCACACCUUCGGGUGAAAUUACUCACAUAAAUUCCCUCACCGGUGUGGAUAUAUGAAAGUUUUGGAUUGACCUUGUAUUAGAUACGGACGCGCUUUCUAACAUUACCUGACGUGUUUCAGAGACAACGUUUUAUGCGAGAUGCAGUCAGAUCGUUUUUGGAUGCCGUGCAGAUCGAAUUUUUCCCAGACGCCGAGGUAUAAUAUGUUCUUAAAUGAUUAUGGAGUAUCUGAGUAUAUGUCACAUUUCAAUUCAGACUUAGCAAUUAUGAUAUUUUAAAUCAGUCUUAUAUUACAUGGUAAGUUGUAAGACCCUACACAAGACCCACACAAAAGUGGUAUAAAGGGAUUUCAAGACGCAUCGAGUCGGUGGCAUCUCAAAAGAGGUCAAUAUAUAUUACCCAUUGAAAUUAUAUACGCAAGUGAAUUCGUUGCAUCACAAAAAGUCAUGUUAAUUUUAUAUUGAAUUUUUAGUGGUUCCUGGUCGAAGUUGAAAAGCGCUGGUAAAGGAUAUUCCAACGACGUCACGGGACAACAAAUCUCAAAAUAUGAUUGCGCUUGAGAAAAUGUUGGAAAAUCAGAUAUUAUGCAGCGCCAUCCGUAGUGUGAGAUAUUGAUAAGAAGGUAGUUUUCGGAAUUGCUCAUUUCCGAAAUAAUUGCAAGAGGACAUGCAACAACUUUUGAACACGAGAAUUGGGCAGCGCUGUCAUUCUACAUACAUUAUGGUACUGGACCUGUCAAUCUAUUAUGUAUUAGUUGAACAAUUUAUUAUACACAUUCAAUGAGUUCAAUGUUUCUAUGUUUUCAUUUAAGGUAUAUGUAUGACACAUGAUGCGGGGAACUGAAUGUGUAACGGUUCAAUUUUAUUGCUGGCUUCCCGUAUCAACAAACGCGUAAUAAACGAAAAUCCAACAUCCGUAAAGAUGAACUUAGUCAUUAGAUCAUGGCGCGGCGAUAAUACUUACACCCAGUUUGUAUUUUUACCGUUUAAAUUCUGCACGCGUUAGAUUUCGUUUCUACAUAAUUUCAUUUCAAUUAUGUGAUAUCUUUACGUUAAAAAUUUUCAUGUUUCUAAAUUUUUGUUUUAUUUAUACGUGUCACGCGUGUUUGUUGAUGCGACUUUCGAGACUAAUGGUUUGUAUUCAUCUCGAUUCGUUUCUGGUGCAUUGCAGUAAAAAAUCCGAGAUAGAAGACGGUUGACGCGUCAAGUGAAAAUUCCCCUAAAUAUUCGGUUGUUGGUAAUUGUAUAUUUAAUUAUGUCUGUCAGAUUGCAUCUCAAUAUACGUUUUUAGUUUUGUUAGUGCAAUACUAAAAUUUAGAUCGAAAAAUAAUAUCGUAAUAGGAAGACAUUACCUGGGUCAGAGUUCAGUAUAUAUCUUAAGUUUUCUUAUUUGUGCUUAUGUAAUAGUGGUGUUUUUUUGCCUUAUAAUAGUGUUGUAAGAAAUUUAACUAUAUAUAUAUAUACUAAUACUAUAUAUAUAUCUAUAUACUAAUAUAUAUAAUAUACUUAUAUAUAUAUAUAAUAUUAUUGUUAUGUUUGUUUGUUUGUUUUCUGUUGUAGGUGUCCUCCAAACAAUUACGUCGAUUGCGGAUUUUUGUAUUGAGAUAUUAUGGGAAGAGAUCAUUUGCGUUGAAUCGUAUAGAACAUCCCAAAAAUGGUAUGGAUAUAACUUAGGGUUAUUUAAUAUUAUCCGGAUAUAUUUCGCUAAUUGUUACUAAAAUCAUGAAUAUGUUUUAUUCUCUUAAUUGAGUACUUUGACGAAUACAAAUCUUACUCACGAGCUCAUUUGGAGGAAUGAAGGAUUGAAUUGCUGUAAUUCAUUUUGAUUCAAAGAAUCAUUAGUUGCUAGCUUUGGUUGUACUAUGUAAAUGUAUGAGAAAUGUAGUUGUUGUAUCGACAUCAAUAUAUUAAUUAUAUAUAGAUUAAUGUUGUAUAUAUAGAUAAAGGUAUUCAAUGUUGUGUUUAUAUAUCAAUGGAUUAUAUGUGUAUAACAUUGGAUAUUAAAGGAUGAACAUCAAAUAAUGAUUUUUUACACUUGUGCAGUCAUGCGACCUAGGUUCCCAAUUAAAUACCUCACUGUAUUUUUUCAAACAAAAUUUUUUAAAAUAACUAAACACUUUAGAGGGCGCUUUCUGUAGAAGCGCCCUCUAAACACUUAUCAUUGACACACUUUAGAGGGUCUGCUUUGUCCAGAAAACCGCCCUCUAAGGUGCCUUUAUGGACCACUCCAGAGGGCCGGCUUUUUCUGAAAGCGCACUAUAAUGUGGCCCUUAAAGGGCCCUUUAGAAGCGCUUUAGAGAGCGCUUUCUCCAGGAAAACAAAGCGCUGUCUUUACCUAUGUCAGCGCCACUUUAGAGGGCGCUUAAAAGCGCUGUUAUAGGCCAAAAUAAGCGCCCUCUUUUCCCUUAUUUGGCGUAGUGAGAUCUUCAGAUACGUCUCACAUCAAACACUCGGAAACUUCCUGGACAACCAUCUACCAUAUUAACAGAGGAAUUACCAUGAGCAGGCAAUGGGUUAGCUUUCACGUUUAGUGCACGGUCCUCAAAGGAAACCAUCCCACUCUUCACUAGCUUCUGGACCUCGUAUUUCAACGGGUAGCAAUUCUCAAUAUCAUGGUCAGGAGCCCCUUGAUGAAAGGCACAUCGAAGUUCUGGCUUGUACCACCAUGGAAGUGGUUCUGGAAUUUGUGGCGGAUUUCUUGGUUGGAGAAGGUUCUUGAGAACCAAAGACGAAUAUAAUUUAGCAUAGGACAUAGGAAUAGGGUCAAAAGAGACCUUCUUCCUCUCAAAGUUAUGUUGUUGUUGUUGAUUAUUGUUGGUGUUGUUGUUGUAGUUGUUUGUUCUUUGUUGUGGCUGUUGUUGACGCUGUUGUUGAACUGGUACUGAUUGAUUAUUGGAAAAUAUUUGAAUAACGGAUGAUACUUGAUGAUGAUCUUACCAAACAAAUCCUUUCCCCUCAAGGUCUUUAACUCCUUUCGCAGCUCAAGGAAUUGGUCUUUCAUCUCAUCCAUCUUUUUCAUAAACAUCUAGACCCUCAGACGGCUCAGAAUGGUAGAUGGUGUCCUCAACACGAGGCAGAGUGUGAACAACUGGAGGCGGAACAGACAGGAUCGGGCUAGAUGUCGGCAUGGAAGCAAAAGUAGGCGCGAACCCUUCGGGCACAAAGUUUGGCGGAAUUCCCCACGGGAAUCCGGUAGGCAUAGUAGGCUCAAACUGAGUGGCAUGCAUGAUUGAAGUAACAACCUCUGAAAUGAUAGUCCUCUGAGGAGGAGGAGGAGUUGUAGGCGUUGGAGAAGAUUGACUCUGAGCAGCUAGAAUAGACUCCAUCAUGGCAGUCAGGCGGGAAAUCUCGUCUUUCAACUCUCAGUUCUCUUAAUCCAAGUGUUCCAUGAUUCUCGGAUGAUUGACGUGAGUAUUGUAUCGAUGAGUCAGCUUGGCUGAAGCACAGAAGAAUAACCAAUAAGACAUCUGGCAGAAGAAAACCUGUUUAUGCAAAUAAUGCAUGAAAUGCAAUGCUUCGAUUGUUUUUAUUUUCAAGGAACAUACAAUUUUAUUUGCAAAUAAUAUAAUAAUAACAAUUUGUAACAAUUUGAUUGACCAUAAAAAAAUCUCUUUUAUUUAUAUAAUUUUGAAGGAUUACACUGAGUACAAAUUCAGAAACCAAAAAUACAAAUACAAGAGAAAAGGAAACUAAUCAUCCUAAGGAUCCCCCAACAGCAGUGUCAGAUGAUCUUGCUGCAGGCGCGUACUUCCUUCGGAUACGCCGGAUCUCGGACUCAAAAGAGGUCUUCAUCUGAGACUUCUCAAGGACAAGCUGAUCAACAAUCUUCUUCCAAGCACCAGAAGACUGAGGCAUACUAGAGGAAGAUGGACCCUCUGGCUCUCUCUGUCUUUUCACUACUCGGUCUUCAAGAAGUUCAAUAAGCGCAUUUUUGUCCUUAGACUCAAGUUGCAACUCCUCAUGCUUUUUGCUCAAUGCAUGGAACCACUCUUCCCACAUAUCCUUCUCUUGCUUCAUCUUGGCGAGUGCGUCUUCCAACUCCUUUACGUCUUGGUUAGGGAGAGUUGAUGGCUCAACUACAACCAUAAAUAUAGGUUUCUCACAAGCAUAAGGCAUCUUCAAUUCCAAAGCUCUCCUCUUCAUCCAAAGAGUGUAAGCUUCCAAAGCUACACAGUUGCAUGGACCAAGCUCGGAUCUUCCUUUCCUAUGCAUAUUAUGCCAAGCAUGCACAAUCUUCUACUUCAAAUGUUGGGGAUCUUUACCCUCUUGAUAGAGAAGACCUUCUAACUGAGUGUUAUUAGGUUUGUCUCUCAAGGGGAACCUAAGUUGAUGACGAGCCAAAGCAGGGUUGUAGUUGAUUCCUCCUUGUGUACCAAUAAGGGGUGCAUUAGAGAAUUCACCACAACUAUCAAUAAUCUCCAAGCUACCCAAUGAAGAAUCAUACCAAACUAUAUCAUCAUUAGUGAGAGAUAUAAGUCUUUGAGACCACUGUAGACAUUGUUUGUUCUCCACCAAAGCAGACGUCUAAGGCAAGUGCGAAAUAAACCACUUGUACAGAAGAGGAACACAUCACACAAUAGUCCCACCACCUUUAGAAUUUCUCAAAUGCAAAGAGAAGUACAUAUCACCUAACAGAGUAGGCACAUGAUUCUCAAUCAAGAAGAUUUUAAUGGCGUUAACAUCAACAAAACCAUCAAUGUUAGGGAACAAAGUCAAACCAUAGAUGAGCAACACAAAGAUGGCUUCAAAGGCAUCCUUACUACCGGCCUGAGCAAAAGCAGUAGCUUUCCUAAUAAGGAACUCAGAAGUCAACCCAAAUAUUCCUCCUUUCUUCACGCAAUGAGCCUCAAUCUCAGACUUCUUCAGAUGAAGAGCUUCAGAUAUAAUAUGAGAUAUGGGAAUCUCUUCCAAUCCACUAAAAGGCACCUUAUCAGAAACAGGUAUCCCCAAGAGAUGGGCAUACUCCUCCAACGUAGGCAUAAGCUGAUAAUCGGGAAAAGUGAAGCAACGGUAGAAAGGAUCAUAGAACUGAACCAAAAUACUCAAGAGUCAUUCAACCACAUCAGCAGACAACACAGAUAGAAGCUUCCUAAGACGUUGCUUGAAGUCCAAGGGAUCUAAUACAAAAGAUGAUAGCUUCCUUAACUCUUUCAAAUCGGGACAUCUGAAACUGUACUUCUUAGUGUUCCUUCGUCCAUAAUCCAUGGUCUGAAAAUAUUUGCAAAUAAAAUCUCAGUUCCUUGAAGUUAUUUUUCGUGUGAUGAAUGUCAUGAUGCGCAUGAAUGCAUGAAUGCAGCAAUCACAAAUAAGGGAUCACUAGGAAAACAAACAAAGGUCGAGGGAUGAAUCAAGUCAUUGUCAAGAUCAAUCAUCCAUUUUGGUGGAUUAUGGUUUUCACCCUAUCAACACCCAAGUAUCAUUGAUAUUAACAAGACUUGAUUGGAUCAACCAAGAAUCAAAGGGUUUGUUGUGAGUCACGAGCAUGUAGUCAUGUUAAGAACCAUCCCAAAGGAGUGUACUAAGGAUAAAAACAUGUAGAUCAUGUUCUAAAAAGUUCCCAGAGUCUUAAUUCCAUCUAUCGGAUAUUACAGGUUAGGAUGACUGACUCAUCAACCCAUAUGUACUAAGGAUAAAAACAUGUAGAUCAUGUUCUAAAAAGUUCCCAGAGUCUUAAUUCCAUCUAUCGGAUAUUACAGGUUAGGAUGACUGACUCAUCAACCCAUAAUAUUCUCAAGAGAAACUCGUCUAAGUGUAGUAUUGCAUAACAACUGUUAUCAAGUCUACACCUGAACAGUCUCCGCACUACGUCCUUAAUAGGCCAAGUUGGGUUAAAUGUUCUACGGUCCUCAGCUUCUCGGACCCCAAAUCAGAGAAAGUAAUGCCUAACCACAAAUAACUCGUGUGACAUUCAUAACUCCAAAAGGGUCUCCACUGAGCAGAUGGGUCUCAAGCCAACUUGUUAAGGACUACUCCACAAAAGUCGAACAUGACUAUACCAUCCUCAUAUCUUAAUUGCACUCAAGUUCGGGUUAGAACUUAUCUCGCCACUCAGAGAUCACCAAGCACAACAAGCAGAUUAUAUCACACAAACAAGUAUACAAACAUCAAAUAUACAAUUUGUCAUACCCCAAAAUUUGUCUGUUGAUUUUUAUACUUUCAACAGAGGUCUAUUCAUUUUUCAAAGGAACAAAGAUCCAGCGUACAGGCUACCAAAUCCAGAAGAUGGCCUGAACCGUCGUGCUCGCUAGGCGAGCAAAACCUUCGCUAGGCGAAGCCCACGCUUUCUCCUUCGCCCCAACGAACCUUGUUGAUUUUGCUACUGGAAUGAUCGCUACCUGCUCGCCUAGCGAGUAAGUACUAGCUAUGCUUUUAUCCAAGUCUGGGAACAUUCGCUGGAACACUCGUUGAGUGUUCGCCUAGCGAACCCUUCGCUAGCUCACUCGCCUAGCGAAACUUGCGAAUAUACAAAAAUUCUGGGCCUGAAUUGCCUUCAGUCUGAGCCCACCAAGACACAAAAAAUCAGCUAUAAAUUCCAGAACUUCAUUUGAAAAAAGGGAGGAGAAAACCCUGGAGAUCAGAAAAACAACGGGGAAAACCCUAGAAGCUAAUUCAGAGAACUCAUCGGCACAAAGGUUACCUCCACCAACCCUAUCAGGCAUAAACCCUAAGAUUGCCCUACAAACCCGACGGUGCAAAUUCAAUUUCAUCCGAUCCCUCCAAUCAGGUUUGCCCUAUUCCCACUACUCUAUGCUCCCAAUUUGGAAUUUCUAAAUGUAUGAGGCAUUAUGGUUGAAUUUAGAAAGGCGAAUAUCGUUAGGUUUUGCAUGUGGGUUUAUAUGUGCAUAAAUGUGUAAAACAAUACUUUGAAUAUUCGAUCACGUAAUUUCUGUAAUGGAUGCCAUAGGGUUUGGGGUUUCCAAAAUCGCACCAGUAUCAAAGAAGAACCCAGAACCCGCAGUCGUUCGCUAGCACCUCGCUAAGCGAACAUGUAGCGAGGGUUCGCCAGGCCUUCGCUAGGCGAGGCAGUAGCGAACAUGACCGUAGUUGAUUUUUUCUGUUUGCAUUCUGAUCUGUUCUGUAUUUGGUUGACAUGCUUUCUAUUGCAUUUGCACGCUGUUUGCCUGACAUUAUUAUUGCUAUGAUUCUUUUGUUCGGUGCAACUCUUGAUUGCACCCCAUCCCGUUAUUCUAACAUGUUUUGCUGUUUGCCUGACAUUAUUAUUGCUAUGAUUCUUUUGUUCGGUGCAACUCUUGAUUGCACCCCAUCCCGUUAUUCUAACAUGUUUGCUGAGUUUUUGUAAGGGCUCCCAUGAUUCUUGAAGAGAUAUCUCGGUAUUCCACUUUAUUUGUGGGAUACCAUUGUGGAGAUUUAUUCUGAUUACUUGGCUAAUUACAUUGCCUUCGAAUAUAUGAUCUUAUCCCUCUCUUUGUUGCCUUACGAUAUUACGGUCAUGUCCCGCGAAUGUGGGGAUACCCUUAGCAAAGACCCUUUUGAUUAAAUCAUCAUCAUCCCUAAACAGAUAAGCCAUAGUCCCUUCGAUCAAAAGGUCAAUGUCCCUACGAGAUAAACCUUGUCCCUCGAAUGUUGCCUACGAAUAUAUGACUUUGUCCCUCGAUGACCCUUCGUUGUAGCCUACGAUUAAAUGAUGAUCGUCCCUUCGAAUGCUAAGGUAUCCUUACAAAUGUUGCCUUCAAUGACCAAUCGACGACCCCACGGAUGUCUCUUUAACAUUCAAUUGGAUAAGGAACUACUUACUUCUCCUAUAUGUACUGGCAUAGUUUUAUUCUCUCGCUAAGGAUAGAAAUACCUAUAAUGACCUUGGUUAGGUAUAACUCUUAAAAUGUCUUGCUCACAGCUUAUAAAUACUUUUCUACACCUCACACUUUUCAAUAAAAAUCUUUUUAGAAAAUACACCACUUGUUAAUAUUCUAUUCGCUACAUGAAUUUCAUCCACGAGUUAUAAUUUUUUCUAAAGCCAUCUUUUCUUUCAAUAUUAUCAAUACGAUAAAUCAGCUUUGUAUCAUCUGUACAUAGAUCCAUUAUAAAAGUUAACUCUCCUUCUCUAAAUAUUUUCUGUAAAUCACAUCCACAUUUCUCUAAAGCAGCUUUCUCGUAAACAUGGAAACAUAUAGUGAGUUAGUCAUUUAAGAGUCCCAUGUGUAUAACCAUGGAUACAAAGGGUGCUAACACCUUCUCCUUUGUAUAUGGUUACCUGCCCGGAACUCAAAAUCUUAAUCAAGGUCCUUGUCCUUGUUUCCGCCUUCCUUAUUGGAUAAAAGAAUAAGUCGGUGGCGAUUCUUGCUAUGCUUCGCAACAUUGCUUCAAGCAUAAAACAUCAUCACAGUAGUUUCACGCGUAUCACAGAACUGGCUCGACUUCUGCUUGGAUUCUUAUAAGAAGAGAGGUUACCUGUAAGAUAUAGAUCAAUUAUGUUUUCGAAUUGUUGUUCUUUGUCUGAUUACUGUUUAAGGGAUUUGUUUGGGUUUCUAUGCUUGAGUGAAUAGAUCCUAUCAUCUUACCGUAUCUAGGUUUGUAUUCCUUAGGUAUUUACAGAACGAUCAUCGGACUGUUCCGGCGUAUAUCUUGUGAAUGGUUAAUAAAUGAUGUCUACGGUUAAUGUGCACACUUUUAUGAUGUCCUGGUGUUUCCUCAUGUUUACUUUGAGGAAAAUUUUUGGCGUCUGCGUGGUGUCAUUCAAAGUCAUUUAACCUAGACUGCUUUAGAACCUCUAGAUUGAUCGUUCAUCUUACCAUUAUGGAUUAAAGUAGUGAUGAUAAUGUGACUUCUGGUUUCUCGCCUGGGUGUUUGGUGAUCCUCGAUACUGCCAUAUGCUUCUUUUGGAGAAGUUGGAUUCCUUAGGUGUAAAUUUUGGUCAUUUCCUGCUGGGUGUUGUUCACUGGAAGUGAACUUAAGGAGGUCAUGAUUUUGAAGAUCCUUCUAGAACCGCGGUUACUAUUCUGGACAUGGUUGAACCAUCCAAACUUCAGAUGGGGAGGGUACUUACCUUAUGGAUUACUCAUGCAAGCUUAUAAACUAAGAUGAUUGGUGGUGUAGCUUGUUACUUAGCUUGACAUCAUAACAUCAUGAUAUUUCAUGGCAUUGAUUGUAUUAACUGCAUUUCGAGACUUAGGGAUUUAUGAUGUAAACUUUUGUCUCUGUUUGUUAAGGCUAUGGUUUCCAGGAAAACCAUUCCGGAUUCAAUUUUUUGUAGGCGAUAUUCUCCUCAACUUCAGGAUUUAGUGUCAGAACUUCCGAUUCAAUGCUUGUUUCAUCAGAAACCUAAUGGUCCAUCUCCUUCUUAAUUUAGUUACCACGUUUCGAGGGAAGAUUGUAUGAGAGUUCUAUCCAAUUUCUUCUGAUCCCUAAACAUCAUUGCUUUCCACUUUCUCCAGAUUAUCAAAAAGUUUUUUUUUGGGGUACGUUUUUUCUCAAUUUAGUUAAGAAUUUUCUAGGGUUGCUUUGGGAUACUUCUAUCCUUGUAUCAAUACACCUUUCAGUGGUUAGAUAAGAGUGUCUGAGGUCUGAAGAGGGUUGUCUGUGGCUUGUAUAACACAUGAAGAAGUCGACAUUGAUACUAAUUGGGUAGCGCAAGAAGUGAAUUAAGGUGUCUACUUGCAAUAUUCUGAUAAUAAGGCCCGCGAAUUCCUAAAAGAGAAUUGUCCAUUGCUUUUCUGAAGAUGUUCUAGCUUAUUCUAAUAUGGUUUGGUGCUAUUUCCUAAUACCGGAUCAUUCUAUAGACAUGAUGUUGUUAAGAUAUUUCUCACUCAUAACCUGUGCCACCUUGCUAUGGAGACAUUUUGCAUUCCUUCACACUCGUACUAUGAAUCGGCAAGGGGACUCUAUCGUGGCUGGCAUACUUAAUUAUCUAGGUGUUAUUUCGGCACCUUCCUCAUAUCAGUCUCUGUGUAAGAUAUGAGCAAAAUCUGAAAUGGUCUCUUAAAGGAUUAAGUCGCUCUCUCAUUUUCAGACAUCCAUUGGUGUCUCCAACCGCAGAAGAAAUAAUGUUUAUUCAUCGUUGACGUUGUGGAGUAAUUCUCUACGUACACUGCAUGGGAUAGAGAGGAGGUAUUAUUAUACCCUGCUUUAGCCCUACGUCAGUUUGGGUUAUGCUUCGAAGGAUGGGUCACAUGAUAAUUACAUUAUCCAAGGCACUGUGGUUGACUAUGACAACAAUUCUCAAGGAUCUGUCAAAGGUUUUGUUACGAGUUUGGGGCAUGGUGGAAAAGAAGUAACCUUUAGGACCGAAAAACUCUAUUCCUAUGGAACCUUAUUCAAUGGGUAGCCCCCGUCGCGCAGAGCUCGUGAGCUUAUCAUGUCCAUAGAUUCUACAGAUUUCGGAGACUCUGAUUGUUUGAACCAAAAGUUGAAGGAUGGUACCCUCAGAUCAUUCCUAUCCUAAGAUAUUGUCCUACCAUGUUGGAAGAAUUGGAGAAUAUUGGAUCUCAGUUUGAAGAUGGACAGGGAUUGCUUUUGAAGCAUACAGUUCCUGUGCUGAUAUAGUGAAGAAUAGUAAUAAAGCUCAUCGCAGCUAGGCUUAAAGUGAGAACGGAGUCUCAGAUUGCAUACCUCGCUGCCAUAAAAUGAAGCGUCCCUGGAGACUGAGCUUUCUGCAUUUUUUCGUUGUAUAUGAAACAUUGAAUUAAAGAUAAUUUAUUAAUUUAAAAGUUGCCCUCUUUUUGGUUGGGUUUUCCGUCCUUUUUGGGUGGGUUUUUACGCAAUAGUUAGAAUUUCCAAAGUCGCUUGUUAAUUAACAUUUCAUAUAUUUGCAUUAGCUAUUAACCGAUACAUUGCAUAACAUGGUUCUUUUUCUAUAUAAGGAUCAAAUUGUUCUCACGGUUUUUCCCUUCAAUCAGGAAAUGGCCCUCGAACAAACUGUCAAGGAUUCCAAGGCUCAGAGUGCUUCAAUUCCAGUGAGAUGAUCUUGAAAUUAUCAAGGGGCAACGAGGAACUUGAAGACCCUAUUUGCUCGAUGAAGAGAUAAGAAAGAAGCUGUGAGUACAUUCAACCCGGGUAAGAAGUGCUUAAAGGAAGGGCUCCAGGAGUCAAGAUUGGAAUUUCUGUUAUUAGGACAAAGAAGAUGAGACAGAGAAUGAUUUCGAAGAGGAGGAUGUUGAUCCUUCAACCCUGUAGGACGACUAUUGAAUAUUAUGAAAAUGCACAGUCUUCUCGCGUAGAAGAUGAUAAGUAUUAUAGUUUGCUUGUAUUAGAACGUAUGCUAGCUUAUGGAGGUGUCAUGAAAGGCGCUCCUUGUAUCUGGAUUUUGAAAAGCUUAGGUCUUGGGUUCUCUGAUCGUGGUCAUGCCUCGUAAAUUCUGAGGUUCCCGCUUUCACUAAGUUAUGAUUGGUGGCAGUCUUGUCUCUCAGAUGCAUCUCUGAAGAGCUUAUGUGAGUAAAAGAUGUCGCCGUUAUAUUCCACUCGAAUUAGGUAAGCUAUGGAUUCCCAUUUUUCGUUCAAGCGAGUCUGGUGUGGCACACAGUUAUGAAGUGGUUAUUAUCAACUGAGAGCUGCUUAACUAUCCGCACUCUGGACUGAUUUAGUCGAUCAACUUUCUACAAGCCACUUACCAGUAUAAUUUCUGAAUUAGCGUCCUACCCCGGCUACAUCCGCUUAGAAUAUUGAACUAUGGAACUCUAAUUAGAAAGCUUUCAAAGAAUAAUGUCUUCAAAAUGGAGAGACGUUGGUGGCAGAGUCAAACCCCCUAUGACUGAUCGAGAAUUAGUGGACAUGUUCAUGGGUACACUGACUGGCCCAUUCUACAGCCAUCUAUUGGGAAGUUCCUCAUCGGGUUUCACUGAACUUAUAUUGACAAGUGAACGUGUUGAAAGCGGCAUUCGAAGUGGAAAGAUACAGGUGGCUACCUCUGCAAGCACCAAAAAGUCCUAUCAGGGGAAGAAUGAAUCAAAUGCUAUGUAUGGUCAAAGGGGUCAUAACAAGAAAAAUCGUGACCAUACUGUUGGAGCAGUUACGAUUGCAGCACCGCCAUCUCAAAACUUCCAACACAGAAAAGACAGGCCAAGAAGGCAGUUUACCAAGAUCAAUAUGACUUUAGCACAAGCACUGCAGGGUAUGCUAAAAGCAAAUCUAAUUACCCUCAGAGAUCCUCCUGCAAAUCCCAACACUACUUCUCCUUGUUAUAAUCCCAAUGCCAGGUGUGCAUAUCACUUCGAUAGCCCCGGGCAUGAUACAAACGAUUGUUGGUUGUUGAAGAAUAAGAUUCAAGAUAUGAUCGAUGCUGGAGAAAUUGAAUUUGAUCCUCCGGAGACUCCUAAUGUCAUCACUGCUCCUAUGCCUAAUCAUGACAAAACUGUUAAUGCUGUGGAUGACAAUUCUCACAUUGCUAAUGUAGCUGACUUAGCAUCUCUUCUCCUGAUCAUCAAGAAGAAUUUAUUGCAAGCUGGUUUAUUUCCAGGUUGUGCUGAAAAUUGCGAUCUCUGUAUAUUCCGACCCAAUGAUUGCUUGAAGUUGAGGAAUGGUAUUCAACGGCUGAUGGAUGAUCGUACAAUUCUCUUUGAAAAGAUUCCUAAGGUGGAAAACCUUAUUGAAGAAAUAUAUAUGAUUGCUAGGUCCACAGUUCCAGUGAAGAUUACCGCUACUAGAGUGCCUGUGAAGAUUACUGCUGAGCCCAAGGUAGCUCCCCUAAUUAUUACUGCACCUGGACCAGUACCGUAUUCCUCAAGCAAAGCCAUUCCGUGGAAUUAUGGAGGUGAUGUUUACAUCCACGGCAUAAAGCAAGAUGAUAAUUCUGCUAAUCGUAAUGACGCUGACAUUGUUAGGACUAGUAAAAUUACUCGAAGUGGAAGGAUCUUCUCUCCAGAAAUCUCACCUCCCGCCCCUGAAACUCGAGGAAAGGGACCAGUAAUCAAUCCUUCUCAGUCAAAGACACCAGUCGAAGUUACUACUGCGCCAGAGCUCGUGAGCUUAUCAUGCCAUAUCUUACAAUCGGACCUCUGAUUGUUGAACCAAAAGUUGAAGGAGGUACCCCUCAGAUCAUUCCUUAUCCAGAUAUGCCUACCAAUGUUGAAGAAUUGGAGAAAUCUUGGAUCCAGUUGAGAGAGGAAAGGGAUGCUUUUGAAGCACAGUUCUGUGCUGAAAGGAAGAAAGUAUUAAAGCUCACCAGCCAGCUUAAGGAGGAACGGAGUCUCAAUGCAUACCUCCGCCCAAAAAGAAGCCGCCCCUGGGAGACUUGAGCUUUCAUUUUUUUCUUGUAAUGAACAUUGAUUAAAGAAAUUAUUAAUAAAAGUUCCCCUUUUUGGUGGUUUUCCCCUUUUUGGUGGUUUACGCAAAGUUAAAUUCCAAAAGUCCUUGAAAACAUUUCAUAUAUUGCAUAGCAUAACAUAACAUUGCAUAACAGGUACUCUAAAAAGAUCAAUGUUCUCACGGUUUUCCUUCAAUCAGGAAAAUGGCCCUCGAACAAACUGUCAAGGAUCUCCAAGCUCAGAGUGCUCAAUUCCAGGAGAUGAUCUUGAAAUUAUCCAAGGGGCACGAGGAACUGAAGACCCUAUUGCUCGAGAAGAAGAAAGACAAGAAGCCUGUGAGUUACAUCAACCCGGGAAGAAGGCUUAAAGGACAGGCUCCAGGAGUCAAGAUUGGAAUUCUGAAGGACAAAGAAGAUGAGACAGAGAAUGAUUCGAAAGAGGAGGAUGUUGAUCCCUUCAACCCUGAGGACGACUAUGAAAAUUAUGAAAAUGAACAGUACUCUCCGAAAGAUGAUAAGUAUAAGUUGCUGGAAGAACGUAUGCUAGCUAUGGAGGGUCAGAAGGCGCCCGGUCUGGAUUUCGAAAGCUUAGGUCUGGUCUCUGAUGUGGUCAUUCCUCGCAAAUUCAAGGUCCCCGCUUUCACUAAGUAUGAUGGUGCGUCUUGUCCUCAGAUGCAUCUGAGAGCUUAUGUGAGAAAGAUUCAGCCGUAUACCACUGAUAGGAAGCUAUGGAUCCAUUUCUUCCAAGAGAGUCUGUCUGGCACACAGUUAGAGUGGUAUUAUCAGCUCGAGAGCUCUAACAUCCGCACCUGGACUGAUUUAGCGACAGCUUUCUACAAGCACUACCAGUAUAAUUCUGAAUUAGCGCCUACUCGGCUACAGCUGCAGAAUAUGACUAUGGGCUCUAAAGAAAGCUUCAAAGAAUAUGCUCAAAAAUGGAGAGACUUGGCUGGCAGAGUCAAACCCCCUAUGACUGAUCGAGAAUUAGUGGACAUGUUCAUGGGUACACUGACUGGCCCAUUCUACAGCCAUCUAUUGGGAAGUUCCUCAUCGGGUUUCACUGAACUUAUAUUGACGGGUGAACGUGUUGAAAGCGGCAUUCGAAGUGGAAAGAUACAGGCGGCUACCUCUGCAAGCACCAAAAAGUCCUAUCAGGGGAAGAAUGAAUCAAAUGCUGUGUACGGUCAAAGGGGUCAUAACAAGAAAAAUCGUGACCAUACUGUUGGAGCAGUUACGAUUGCAGCACCGCCAUCUCAAAACUUCCAACACAGACAAGACAGGCCAAGAAGGCAGUUUACCAAGAUCAAUAUGACUUUAGCACAAGCACUGCAGGGUAUGCUAAAAGCAAAUUUAAUUACCCUCAGAGAUCCUCCUGCAAAUCCCAACACUACUUCUCCUCGUUAUAAUCCCAAUGCCAGGUGUGCAUAUCACUCCGAUAGCCCCGGGCAUGAUACAAACGAUUGUUGGUUGUUGAAGAAUAAGAUUCAGGAUAUGAUCGACGCUGGAGAAAUUGAAUUUGAUCCUCCGGAGACUCCUAAUGUCAUCACUGCUCCUAUGCCUAAUCAUGACAAGACUGUUAAUGUUGUGGAUGACAAUUCUCACAUUACUAAUGUAGCUGACUUAGCAUCUCCUCUCCUGAUCAUCAAGAAGAAUUUAUUGCAAGCUGGUUUAUUUCCAGGUUGUGCUGAAAAUUGCGAUCUCUGUAUACUCCGACCCAAUGAUUGCUUGAAGUUGAGGAAUGGUAUUCAACGGCUGAUGGAUGAUCGUACAAUUCUCUUUGAAAAGAUUCCUAAGGUGGAAAACCCUAUUGAAGAAAUAUCUGUGAUUGCUAGGUCCAAAGUUCCAGUGAAGAUUACCGCUACUAGAGUGCCUGUGAAGAUUACUGCUGAGCCCAAGGUAGCUCCCCUAAUUAUUACUGCACCUGGCCCAGUACCGUAUUCCUCAAGCAAAGCCAUUCCGUGGAAUUAUGGAGGUGAUGUUUACAUCCACGGCAUAAAGCAAGAUGAUAAUUCUGCUAAUCCUAAUGACGUUGACAUUGUUGGGACUAGUAAAAUUACUCGAAGUGGAAGGAUCUUCUCUCCAGAAAUCUCACCUCCCGCCCCUGAAACUCGAGGAAAGGGACCAGUAAUCAAUCCUUCUCAGUCAAAGACACCAGUCGAAGUUACUACCGAAGAUGUUGCCAAGCAGGAAAUGGAAGAAAUGCUGAAAAUCAUCCGUAAGAGUGAUUUUGAUGUGGUAGAACAGCUGGGGCAUACUCCGUCUAAAAUUUCGAUGUUAUCCUUGUUGUUAUCUUCUGAAUCUCAUGCCAAUGCGUUGAUAAAAUUCUUGAAGACCGCUCAUGUACCUCAGGAGACAUCUGUCGAUCAGUUAGAAAAUUAUGUUGCUAACUUGGCUGUUGAUAAUGGCAUAGGCUUUUCUGAUGCUGACCUGACACCAGCAGGAAAGAAUCAUAAUAAAGCUUUGCAUAUCUCCAUUGAGUGUAAGGGGAUCACCUUGUCUCAUGUGUUGAUCGAAAAUGGCUCUUCUUUGAAUGUGCUACCGAAAGCUGUGCUCGAUAAGCUUGACUGUAAAAGCAUUGAACUGAAACCUAGUGACAUUGUGGUGCGUGCUUACGAUGGUGCGAAGAGUGUUGUCCAUGGUGAAGUGGUUCUCCUUAUCAAGAUAGGACCUCAAGUCUUCAACACUACCUGUUACGUAAUGAACAUCCGUCCUGCCUACUCCUGCUUGCUGGGACGCCCUUGGAUCCAUGGGGCAAGUGUUGUAGCUUCGUCUCUCCAUCAAAAGCUGAGGUAUCCAAUAGAGGGCAAGAUUGUCACUGUGUGUGGAGAAGAAUAGUAUAUUGUCAGUAGUGUGUAUGCCUUCAGAUACGUCGAGAUGGAUGGUGAAUUCUUUGAGACUCAUUCUCAGUCAUUUGAAGUAGUUCCUCCGACCAGUCAUGUCCUUAAGCCAACUUCCCGUGUGCCCAAGGUUAUUCGUGCUCCUCCUUCUAUGAUUUCUCUGAAAGAUGCUCAAGCCGUGGUUGAAAAUGGUGGUCGUACUGGCUGGGAUCUACUGAUCGAUGUACCGUACAAGUCUGAUAAAUCUAGCCUGGGGUUUAGCUCUGAAAAGAUGGUCAAAGACCAGAUUAAUGCUGUAGAAGAUGUUGAUAGUGAUUGCGACUUGGAUAGCUGGAUUUUCCCAACAAUUGGUGACGGACUCAAUAAUUGGAAGGCUGAAGACACUAUCCCAAUUUCCUUUAGUCAGGAGUAAUUGUUAUUGCUAUUUUAGUGUUUCAAAUUUUGUAUUUUUUUUAAAAGCAUUAUGUCUAUACCCGGGGCACAAUAGAUAAUUUUUCAAGGGUUUUGUCAUUUUCAUAAGCAUAUUCACAUUCAAUAAAUCAAUGGACCUUUUGCAUUCAAAUAUUGCGCUCUUUAUCUUUCCUGUCAUCCUUCAAAUAAGCUAUGUUUUCUUACACACACUCACGUAACAAAUUGCAGAUCCAUAUCCACUCUGGAUCCUGUUGAUAAUAAUUCUGCUACUGUUAAUUAUGGCUUUGAAAAUCCGAUCUACCAAGCCUCACACACUCACGUAACAAAUUGCAGAUCCAUAUCCACUCUGGAUCCUGUUGAUAAUAAUUCUGCUACUGUUAAUUAUGGCUUUGAAAAUCCGAUCUACCAAGCCGAGGAUGGAAGUGAGGAAGAUUGAGAAGUGCCUGGAGAGCUUUCCAGACUGUUACUGCAAGAAGAAAAGACUAUACAGCCGCAUGAGGAAUCAAUUGAAAUUGUAAAUCUGGGUACUGAAGUAGACAAGAAAGAAGUCAAAAUAGGAGCAAGCUUGGAAAACAGUGUCAAAGAAAGGUUGAUUCAGAUGUUACGUGACUAUGUAGAGAUUUUUGCUUGGUCUUAUAAAGACAUGCCAGGACUGGAUACUGAUAUAGUAGUACAUCGUUUGCCGAUGAAGGAAGACUGUCAUCUUGUUAAGCAAAAGGUUCGUCGCAUGCGUCCUGAAAUGUCUGAGAAAAUCAAAGCCAAGGUUAUGAAACAAUUUAAUGCAGGUUUUCUAGCUGUUACUUCUUAUCCUCAAUGGGUUUCUAAUGUGGUACCAGUGCCAAAGAAGGAUGGUAAGGUGCGAAUGUGUGUAGAUUACAGAGAUUUGAAUAAAGCAAGUCCCAAAGAUGACUUUCCACUUCCGCACAUUGAUGUUCUGGUAGAUAACACCGCUCAACACAAGGUAUUCUCAUUCAUGGAUGGAUUCUCAGGUUAUAACCAGAUUAAGAUGGCACCUGAAGACAUGGAGAAAACUACGUUUGUGACGCAAUGGGGCACUUUCUGUUACAAAGUAAUGCCAUUCGGUUUAAAGAANNNNNNNNNNNNNNNNNNNNNNNNNNNNNNNNNNNNNNNNNNNNNNNNNNNNNNNNNNNNNNNNNNNNNNNNNNNNNNNNNNNNNNNNNNNNNNNNNNNNNNNNNNNNNNNNNNNNNNNNNNNNNNNNNNNNNNNNNNNNNNNNNNNNNNNNNNNNNNNNNNNNNNNNNNNNNNNNNNNNNNNNNNNNNNNNNNNNNNNNNNNNNNNNNNNNNNNNNNNNNNNNNNNNNNNNNNNNNNNNNNNNNNNNNNNNNNNNNNNNNNNNNNNNNNNNNNNNNNNNNNNNNNNNNNNNNNNNNNNNNNNNNNNNNNNNNNNNNNNNNNNNNNNNNNNNNNNNNNNNNNNNNNNNNNNNNNNNNNNNNNNNNNNNNNNNNNNNNNNNNNNNNNNNNNNNNNNNNNNNNNNNNNNNNNNNNNNNNNNNNNNNNNNNNNNNNNNNNNNNNNNNNNNNNNNNNNNNNNNNNNNNNNNNNNNNNNNNNNNNNNNNNNNNNNNNNNNNNNNNNNNNNNNNNNNNNNNNNNNNNNNNNNNNNNNNNNNNNNNNNNNNNNNNNNNNNNNNNNNNNNNNNNNNNNNNNNNNNNNNNNNNNNNNNNNNNNNNNNNNNNNNNNNNNNNNNNNNNNNNNNNNNNNNNNNNNNNNNNNNNNNNNNNNNNNNNNNNNNNNNNNNNNNNNNNNNNNNNNNNNNNNNNNNNNNNNNNNNNNNNNNNNNNNNNNNNNNNNNNNNNNNNNNNNNNNNNNNNNNNNNNNNNNNNNNNNNNNNNNNNNNNNNNNNNNNNNNNNNNNNNNNNNNNNNNNNNNNNNNNNNNNNNNNNNNNNNNNNNNNNNNNNNNNNNNNNNNNNNNNNNNNNNNNNNNNNNNNNNNNNNNNNNNNNNNNNNNNNNNNNNNNNNNNNNNNNNNNNNNNNNNNNNNNNNNNNNNNNNNNNNNNNNNNNNNNNNNNNNNNNNNNNNNNNNNNNNNNNNNNNNNNNNNNNNNNNNNNNNNNNNNNNNNNNNNNNNNNNNNNNNNNNNNNNNNNNNNNNNNNNNNNNNNNNNNNNNNNNNNNNNNNNNNNNNNNNNNNNNNNNNNNNNNNNNNNNNNNNNNNNNNNNNNNNNNNNNNNNNNNNNNNNNNNNNNNNNNNNNNNNNNNNNNNNNNNNNNNNNNNNNNNNNNNNNNNNNNNNNNNNNNNNNNNNNNNNNNNNNNNNNNNNNNNNNNNNNNNNNNNNNNNNNNNNNNNNNNNNNNNNNNNNNNNNNNNNNNNNNNNNNNNNNNNNNNNNNNNNNNNNNNNNNNNNNNNNNNNNNNNNNNNNNNNNNNNNNNNNNNNNNNNNNNNNNNNNNNNNNNNNNNNNNNNNNNNNNNNNNNNNNNNNNNNNNNNNNNNNNNNNNNNNNNNNNNNNNNNNNNNNNNNNNNNNNNNNNNNNNNNNNNNNNNNNNNNNNNNNNNNNNNNNNNNNNNNNNNNNNNNNNNNNNNNNNNNNNNNNNNNNNNNNNNNNNNNNNNNNNNNNNNNNNNNNNNNNNNNNNNNNNNNNNNNNNNNNNNNNNNNNNNNNNNNNNNNNNNNNNNNNNNNNNNNNNNNNNNNNNNNNNNNNNNNNNNNNNNNNNNNNNNNNNNNNNNNNNNNNNNNNNNNNNNNNNNNNNNNNNNNNNNNNNNNNNNNNNNNNNNNNNNNNNNNNNNNNNNNNNNNNNNNNNNNNNNNNNNNNNNNNNNNNNNNNNNNNNNNNNNNNNNNNNNNNNNNNNNNNNNNNNNNNNNNNNNNNNNNNNNNNNNNNNNNNNNNNNNNNNNNNNNNNNNNNNNNNNNNNNNNNNNNNNNNNNNNNNNNNNNNNNNNNNNNNNNNNNNNNNNNNNNNNNNNNNNNNNNNNNNNNNNNNNNNNNNNNNNNNNNNNNNNNNNNNNNNNNNNNNNNNNNNNNNNNNNNNNNNNNNNNNNNNNNNNNNNNNNNNNNNNNNNNNNNNNNNNNNNNNNNNNNNNNNNNNNNNNNNNNNNNNNNNNNNNNNNNNNNNNNNNNNNNNNNNNNNNNNNNNNNNNNNNNNNNNNNNNNNNNNNNNNNNNNNNNNNNNNNNNNNNNNNNNNNNNNNNNNNNNNNNNNNNNNNNNNNNNNNNNNNNNNNNNNNNNNNNNNNNNNNNNNNNNNNNNNNNNNNNNNNNNNNNNNNNNNNNNNNNNNNNNNNNUAGACUGAUUACUGAACUCUGCCGCAGUUCAAAAAAACACACAACUUUUCUCCGUACGGUCAAAGAUGAAUGGCGUUGAUACGAAGCUGCUAAUAAGAAUAUUUAGAAGAUUAUACAAAAGAUGACCGUAAAUACAAAGACUGGCAUGAGAUGUACCAUUUUCUCUUCAUGGUUAUCGCACUUCAAUACGCACUUUGACAGGGGAAACUCCUUUUCUUAUCACGAAUGAGCCGUAUUUACAGUGGAAGUUCAUAUUCCCUCUCUAAGAAUUAUGAAAGAUGCAGGCUUAGAUGAAGAUGAAUGGAUUCAGACUCGACUCGAUCAGAUAAAUUUGAUUGAUGAAAAGAGACUUGCGGCUGUUUGUCACGGACAAAUAUCAGAAGCGCAUGACCCAGGCAUUUAAUAAAAAAGUCAAGAGACAGGUGUAUCAAAUUGGCGACUUGGUGAUAAAGCGUAUCAUUCUACCACAAGGUGAUCCUAGAGGCAAAUGUACUCCCACAUACGAAGGGCCAUUUGUAGUUAAGAAGGUAUUCUCUGGUGGAGCCAUGAUGCUUACUACAAUGGAUGGCGAAGAUUUCCUGCAUCCCGUGAACGCGGACAUAGUUAAAAAAUACUACGCAUAAAAGAGACCCGCUAGGUUGACAUAUCUAGACAAAAGUAAACGCAUCCCGACGAACCAAAAGGGUUUGGGCAAAAAUUAGGGAUAAACAUAUAAAAAUGUACACCCGGCAAGUUGAAAACCUGAAAAGGCGGCUUGGGCAAAAAGGGGUAUCCUGGUGGACUGAAAACCUGAAAAGGCGGUCCAGGCAAAAAUUAGGGAUUAAAGUGUAUGACUAUGUCCCGUUCUCGUUCAGCUUCACCAAAGUCAAAGGGACUGAGCAAGCCAAUCACUUCUAUCUGACAGCAAGGGAUGAGAUGCUCGAAGACAUAAUAGCAGUAACAGAAUUUAAAUCAAUAGGACUUUUUCUCAUAGCUGUUUUUUUUUCUUCGCUUCCUUGACAAUUUUCUCUUACUAGGAUUUUUGUCUCCUUGUAUUAAAAUUACCUAUUUAUAGGCCCUCUUUUAAAAUCAAUACAAUUUUAUUUCCAAAAAGAUACUUUUGUUUUACUUUCUCCGUUUUGCUUGCAUAAACGUCCAUUGAUUUAAUUCGAAUUAAUAUAUGCAUGUGAAUAUGAUUGAUGUUUACCGAAAAUACAUGCAUAAAAUAGAAAUAGCAAUUACUAAAAGACUUUAGGAUCAAGGAUAAGGUUUAACCAUGCGUUCUAACAAAUCCGGUUGCAAAUCCUAUUCCCCAACAAAACCAGUUAUUUAUGUUUACCGAAAAUACAUGCAUAAAAUAGAAAUAGCAAUUACUAAAAGACUUUAGGAUCAAGGAUAAGGUUUAACCAUGCGUUCUAACAAAUCCGGUUGCAAAUCCUAUUCCCCAGCAAAACCAGUCAUUCCCAGAAGAAAUUGGCACUACUAGACAGACUAGUCAUCUUUGUUAUCCCCAGUCAGGUUCUGUUGAAUAUUUCUACCAUCAGACAGAAAUCAAAUAUCCCCAGCUAAGAAAGGGUUAUCAAUACAAAUAUCUCCGACCAGAAUAUCGGGAUUUAUUUUCCCAUGGCAAAAAUUUUCAGACACAUAAUUCAUUCAUACAUCAUUUCAUAGCAUAUGCACGCACGCAAUGUUCGCAUUUAUUUUCAAGAGCAUAAAACAUCUCAUGCAUCAUAACAUGGCAUGAAGCUGACUUUUUUUUCAGGUUAAUUAUCCUCCUGAUACAGUCAAAAUAAAGAUUCAUUCAGACGGAUCUUUAUCGAUUACAUUCAAGAUUCAUAUACAUUUUCAGAUAUAAUCCAUAUGAAUAUUCAUUCUGACAAACAUUAUGAUAUCCUCCUAAUGAUGGCAUCUUUAAGCCCAUCCCAGACAUUUAUUGCAAAUACAGCAUAUACAAAUAUUAUCAGAUAUAGCCUAACGUAUGGCUCAUUCUGAUUCAGCCUAACGUAUGUUCCUUCAACUGUCCAAAUACGGUCUACGUAGACCCCCAUUUGGAUAUUCAUCCCCUCAGAUACUACCUAGCGUACAGUACAUUCUGAAAUGUAGUCUAGCAUAUGACUACCCCUUUUAUCAUCAGAUACAGCCUAAUGGACGGCUCAUUCUGCUACUCAGAUACGAUCUAGCGUACGAUCCAUUCUGAUCUUUAUUUCUCCAGAUACAGCCUAAUGGACGGCUCAUUCUGCUACUCAUAUAUGAUCUAGCGUAUGAUCCAUUCUGAUCUUUAUUUCUCCAGAUACAGCCUAACGGACGGCUCAUUCUGCUACUCAGAUACGAUCUAGCGUACAAUCCAUUCUGGUCUUUAUUUCUCCAAAUACAGCCUAACGAACGGCUCAUUCGGCUACUCAGAUACUACCUAGCGUAUGGUACAUUCUAAAAUGUAGUCUAGCGUAUGACUACUCUUUAUCCCAGAUACAGCCUAACGGACGACUCAUUUUGCAACUCAGAUACGAUCUAGCGUACGAUCCAUUCUGAUCUUUAUUUCUCCAUAUACAGCCUAACGGACGGCUCAUUCUGCUACUCAGAUACUACCUGGCGUACGGUACAUUCUAAAAUGUAGUCUAGCGUAUGACUACUCUUUAUCCCAGAUACAGCCUAACGGACGGCUCAUUCUGCAACUCAGAUACGAUCUAGCGUACGAUCCAUUCUGAUCUUUAUUUCUCCAGAUACAACCUAACAGACGGCUCAUUCUGCUACUCAGAUACUACCUGGCGUACGGUACAUUCUAAAAUGUAGUCUAGCAUACGACUACUUGUUAUCUCAGAUACAGCCUAAUGGACGGCUCAUUCUGCUACUCAGAUACGAUCUAGCGUACGAUCCAUUUUGAUCUUUAUUUCUCCAGAUGACCAAGAGGAACAACUUUCACGUUGAACACUGUUUCAUUUGAACCUUGGAUCAUUUUGAAUUUUGAGGUGGAAGUUUGGAAAACCAAACAUAUAAAAAAAAUCGAAGUACCAAGCCAUAUGUUCACUUCUUCCACCUUGAAUAACUUUUUCUAUGGGUUUCAAAUGAGAUAAUUUCCUUCAUAAAAGUUGCAUAUAUUUCAAAUAACUUCAAUUUGGUAACACAUUUGACCUCAUUUGGAUUAAUCAUGAAGGGGUUAUGCAUUUUAGAAGUUGAGGAACAUCACUUGUUCAAUGGUAUUGACCCAAAAUGACCUAUAAUGUUUCCUCUUGGCACAUGCAUUUGCAAGUUGAAUUUGAACUUCCUCAAAACAUAAAAGUUGAAGUAGACAUAUUUAAUUCGAUCAUGGAAUUUGAAUGGCUUUCAUAUCAUAAAAAUUGAGCAAGUUAUGAGCUUGGGAAGUUGACCUCCAAAUUAAGAUUUAGACAAAAUGACCUAUAAUCUCUCACCAUAAACAAUGACUUUCCAAGUCAAACUAGCUCUUUACCUCAACAUGAAAGUUGUUUGGAAUGUCAUUUAGAGUAACGUUUCUCUUGGAAUCAUUUUCAUAUGAUAAAAAUUGUAGGAGAUAGGGUCUAGGGACCCCCAAUUUUGACUAGUUGAAUUCCUCUGGUCAACCACCAUGAACCAACUUGCUAGCUUGAUAUUCUCUUGACUUUUGGGACUCAUGGAGGAUCAUAUAUGCAUAAGAUGAUGUAAUGUGAAGUAUACCUUGAAAUAUUUAAUCAAUUGGUGAAGAAACUCAUUGAAGAAGUCACACAAGAUACCCAGAUGAAUUAGGGUUUCUAAGGCAAACAAACUCCAAACUCUUGAUGAUUUCUUGAUCAAAAUAACAUGUGAAGAUCAUGGGGAUUCAUAUAUGACAAUUAGAUCCAAUUUAAACCACUUCUUGAUUUAGCUCCUUACAUUUAGGGUCUUGAACCCUAUAUAUGAGUUUGAUAGAGCAUAAGUGAGCAUGUGCUUUACCUACAAAAGAGUUAAACUAUACAUUGACAUAUUUUUGGUAUUUGGGUUAGUAAAUGAUAAAAAACAAAGUAUGAUACAAUCAAAUGUGCUUGGUGAUCUCUCCCAAUGCAAACUCAAUGAAUGGGGGUAAGGAGGAUGCCAAGGUGUGAUCCUAAUGUCAAUGCAUGUGAUGAGAUAGCAUGAGGAAUCUUAGGAUCAAAAUUGGGGUCUUACAGGAGCUUCGAUCAAGUGUGUGUGUGUUGGGGGGGGGGGGGCCGGGGGCGGUUCAUUUGUUAUAGAAAUCAAAAUUGGAUCAAAUUGUCAAAUAAAGAGCUGUCAUCAUCAAAAAGGGGUAGAAUGUGAAGACAAGUUUCUCAAAGUGUUUUGAUGAAGACAUGAUCAACAAAUAUGCAUUGCAAAAAGAAUGCCUCAAGACUCAAGCACAAGCUUCUGUUUUAAAAGCAUUUCAAAGUCUUGAAUAUUUCUAUGGAUUUGAUCAAAGUGUUAAGGUAUUAAGUUCUCAAUCUCUUUAUGAUAAGUCAAGUGCUCUAGUUUUUGAAUCCAUUCAUAUCUUGUUUAUUUAGGGCUCUUAAAUUUUUCUGUUUUGCAUUUCACUUCACUUUCAAAUGCAUUCUGCCAUUCUGUCUAUGUGGUAAUCGGUUACAAGUAUUUAGGUAAUCAAUUACCAGUUAUGCGUGCUGCCUUGUGAGACAAAUUUUGCAGCAUGUAGUUGAUUACAUCUUUUGGGUAAUCGAUUACACAAUUCAUUUUUUCAAAAUUUUUUAACGUUGGCUCAGGUGUAACUGAUUACACCAUAUUGGGUAAUCGAUUACCACUGAACCAGUGGCAGAAAACAUUGCAUUCUUUCAUGAAUUUUUUUAUGAAAUGUGUUCUUGAAGCAUGGCAUCCCUUCAUGUAUCAUAACCAUUUAGAGAGGUGUCUAAGGGUUAUAUAUAACACAUUUCUACAGAAUUUGAGAACACCUCCUUCUCACAAACAUUUUCAAACAAUCUUCUUCAUUUAUCUUUUCAAAUUAUUUCAAGUGUUCUUGAUUAAAUUUUCUGGUGAAACUUUUUACACAGAAUUUUCAUACACAUUUAUAUAGUUUCGUCCAUGUCAUCAUUAGAGAACUUUGUUUGUCAUAGAGAAGUUUGAUUACUUUAAAGGAGAAUAUCAAUCAAUAGAUUGAUAGAUUAUUCCAUUUGUCAAAAACUUGUAAAAACUCAUAUUGUUGUGUUUUUCCUUGUUGUGCAGGAUUGUUAGAAAUAAUAGGAUCAUUAAAAGGGAGGAUCGUUCUCUUUUGAACUUAGUAAAAAUCCAAGAGGAUUAUUCUUGGUUUGAUUGUUAGUGUCUAUAUAGAAAGAAUAGGAAGAGUCUUGUAAAAAUCCUAACAAUAGUAAAAUCUCUUUCACAUUGAAAGGGGACUGGAGUACUCUCGAUCUGUGAGGGGAACCACGAUAUCUCUCCGUGUUCUUUACUUUCUGCACUUUAUUGUUCAUUGUAUAACCUAACCAGAAAAGAAAGAACAAGUUUUCAUAAAACCGGAGAAAAAAAAAUUCAAAGAACCUAAUUCACUUUCUGAGCAUGCGUGAUGAAAGCGUGACACAUUGGGUGUAACAAUUCUUGGAAUUAGGUCUAAACUCUUACGCUCCCCCAUCUGACUGUGUAUUAUCUUUUUGUCAUAAUUAUAAGAUUUUCUAUAUAAACCCACUUCACUCACAUUUUCACACUACGCGCACAUCUCUCCCACACUUUAAGUUUUCAAACCUUAAAACAACCUCUUUUUUCUCUCUACAAAUGUUCUUCAUCUUCAUCUUUUUCAAAUAAAAUGGAUGAUCAACAACAAAAAUCUCCAAGCUCCUCAAAGGCAACUGAAAGCAACAACAUGUUGGAAUGGGAUUCCUGAGUUAACCCUUCACACUCCAGUAAAUGAGUUAACAGUGCAAUGUGAAACCAUUGUUGAUUUCAAAAACCUAAAGGAUAACAUUUUUGAUUUCACUGAAACUUUGAAUGUUCAAGGAUGGAACACCUUCUUCGAGAUACUUACGGGCCUAGUUUAACCUGUGUCAGUAAAGCAGUUUUGGGUUCAUGCAACUGCUGAGAAGGAAACUAUCACUUCCUAUGUCAUGAAUAGGAAUAUAGUCAUCAUUGAGAAGUCCAUAGCUGAUCUCAUUGAUCAUGGUGGUAAAGGGAAGAGGGUUCACAGUGCAACCAUCACUGCUAAGAGAGAUAUUGUCAUUUCUCCUGUCAUCUUCAAGUAAGAAACCAACUUUGUUGAUGAAAAGGGUCCUAGUGCUAAGGACUUAACAAGAAACCUAAGGGUUUGGUUCAAGAUCAUUUUGGGUUGCAUUAACCACAUGCCAAGUACAAAUAGUUCUAGCUACAUUAACACACGUAAUAAAUUCAUGUUAUUUCUUCUAGAGAAGGGUGCCAAGCUGGGACUUCCAUCACUCCUGUUUAAGUUCAUGAGGAAUUCUAUCAUAGAAUCUAGAACUGGUGGAUCAUCCAAGAAGUCUAGGAGAAAAUUCAUUCCCAACGACAGAUUGAUUUCUGAUAUCCUUGUGGAAAGUGGUUUGGUGGAUGACCUUCUAGUCAGUGGUUUGACAGAAGAGCUGGUGAAGGAUGCUGGUAAAGUCUUAUGGGGGAAGAAUCUGAAGAUUAUGGGUCUUAUCUCCAAAUUUCAAAGGCCAAAUGUCAUUCUAACUAAGGAUGAUAUAUGUGGUACAAGAAAUCCCAUUGAUAACUACCCUUUAUUAACCAAAAUUGACCCUCCACAGGUUCUGAUGGCUUAUUUGGAAAGAUGUCUGAAGGAAGGAAUUCAACCUCUGGUGGAUCCUUUUAACCUUCCAGAAACUUACCAUGAUGUUCAUGGAAAGAGAAAGAAGGAGUUCAUAUGCAAAGGAUCUUCUAGGGCUCAGAAGAAGAAGAAGAAGAUUGUUAUCUUUCAAGAUGAAGAUGAGGUACCUCUAAGUGAGCGCCAGAAGGCAAUGAUUCUGAAGGAUACUUCUCGAGUCGUCCAGUCUUCAAGAGUUUCUAGGAAGCUCCCUUCUGAUAGCACUCCUUUAAAUUCUGAUUCAAUCUCUUGUGAAAUCAUCUUACAAAUCCCUCCUCCAUUUCAAUCCACUAUUUUUGAACCAAUCCCAAUUCCACCACAGAAUCAAAUCCACCAAUGUCAACUCCAAUCAUAGAAAUUCCGCCACCAAUAUCAAAUCCCAUAAUAGAAACUCCUGUUACAGAAACUACCAUCACAUAAACUCCUUUAUUUUAUGCUCCUGUUUUAGAAUAACAGCAUAUACCACCACCAUUAUCUCCACCACAGUUACAAAUUUCACCUAUCUCACCACCACCNUUUGGAGAUCAAAAAAUUGAAAUAAAAAUUAAAAAAGGAAAUGAUUGAAAUAAUAAAACACGGAAAUGGCAAAUUUUGUAAUUAUUUUGGUCCCUUAAGUGAACAUGUCGCGUUUCAAAAAAAAACUUUAAAAAGGGGGGUUUUUUGUGUCAUCCUGUGAUUGGCUCAUGGCAAUAAACAGUGAAAAGAUGCAAAACAAAUUCCAGCGAGCAAACACGAUUUUCUGGGUUUGUUAAAUUUAGGGUUUAUGGCUACGAGUGCCAUGUUCAUCAUCUUCCAGAUUUUCCAGCACAACUUUGUUGCAAUUAAAAUCUCACAAAUGGACAUACCAACAUGUUUCAUCUAAUCAUGUACUUCAUCAAAUCAACCACGAUUUGGACCAACCAAACUUUCAAAACAGUGGUUUCUCUUCGCAAUAUGUAACCAUUGUCUCACGAUCCAAAGUUCAAAAUAAUCAGCAUCGGCAGAUUUCUUUAUAAGGCAUAGCAUGAUUAUUAAGAAUAGCAGUUGAUUCGAAUUUUUACCAGAUUUGCAGAACAGUGAGAUUUGGUAGGUUUGUUUGGCUGUGUUAUGCACGAAACAGAUGGUCCAAUGAUGUCUCGCAGAUUGAUGAAUGUAUGAGUAUGAAAGCCCAGUUACUCAAUUCCAGCUCAGAUCAACUGCCAUGAAAUGGUUCAAUGCAACAGUGUUGUUGUUCUUGCUGUACAAACUAAGAAAUAAUACGUUGCUAAAGGGCUUCCAAAAAGGAGCAUUGUGAUGAAAACAAUCAACAAGACUCGCGGCUCUUUGAAGAUUUUCAAGAAAAAAGUCAAGUGAAAAAUAGAGCUGAGAGAAAUGAGUUUGAUUCUGUUUUGUGAAAUUAGUGCUUAGGGCUUUUCAUCAGAAAAGGAAGCUACUCUACUCUGUUUUAGUAUGCUAAGUUUGGUUAAAGGAAGUGUUAAUUGCAUUAGCUCAAAAUGAAGUGUUUUGGGUUAAUGUGGAUUUCACUCAAAUGGCAAGGUGCAUAGCUACAUGCGAAUUUGGGCUCUAAGCACAUCCAAAUGUGAUUUCUGAAACAUUUUCAAUUGGUACAAAAUGUGGAACAAUGAUUAAUUUGAAAGGUCAUUUUUCACCUCAACCUCUUUUUUAUUCAUCCGUGUACUUGAAAAGACCAUUUUUGAUUGGUUGAGUUUUUGUAAAUGUGCAUGAAGGAUUUGGAUAGAGCAAGCAUCAAAUAUGACUUGGAGCAAAAACCUCACUCAAUUUGGCAAAUGGUUUGGAAGCAUAUGCCACUUUGAAGUUCAAAAUUUGUUGAGAAUGAAUUUAAUUCAUUACUUUUGCAACCAUAUAAUGCCCGCAGGAAUGAAGGUUCUUGGACUUUUGGAAAGGGACGAGAAAAGAUCUUCAAACUUUCAUGUUUGGACCAAAAAUUUCAUUGAAGCUGUAUGAUGAUGUAAUGUUGAGAGAGAAGAACUUUCCAUUUUGUAGGCAAAUUUCCAAUUACAAGGCACACUUUCUAUUUUUGGAAAUUUCUUGGUCUGACUUCAAUUCUUCACUUGGAGUUGGACAUGUUAUAUGAGGCUAUAUGGAUCAUGAAUGAGACUUCUCAGCACCAAUCCCACCAUCAAUUCACUGAUUAAGAUGCACAGUUGACCACAGUUGACUUCUGUUGACUUUCGCUAGGUUUUGUGACUGAACCUGUUCUGAUUGAAUUCCAAAGCCCCUACCACUUGAUAUUUGAUCCAAAAUGUCACAACUCAUAUGAACUUCUGAUGAAUGAUUUCAUGGGUGCCCCAAUUCUUUCAAGAUGGCCACCAUCCACUGCUUAAUGACUGGUUUGACUGAUUGGAUCCUAAUUGGCUUCAUUGCACAGCUAACAUGGUAGAUGACAAUAUUUUUGUACCUUUGGUUUAAUGAACAGAUGAAAAAGCAAUGAUUAUAAAAUGCAAUACAUGCUUUGUGAUUCAAGAACCACACUCACAAGAUAACCCACCCACUAGAGGGAGGGAAGCAAAGUGUGUUACAAAGGAUCCUUUGAGCAAUGAUAUGAUAUGAUAUGAUGCCAUAGGGAUCUUAGGGACAAAAUUGGCGGUUUUUACAAUGACCUUCUAGUCAGUCGUUUGACAGAAGAGCUGAGGCUGAAGGAUGUUGGUAAGUCUUAUGGGGCAAGAUCUGAAGAUUAUGGGGUCUUAUCUCCAAAUUUCAAAGUUCAAAUGUCAUUCUGACUAAGGAUGAUAUAUGUGGUACAAGAAAUCCCAUUGAUAACUACCUUUAUUACCAAAUUAUGACCCUCCACAUGUUUGAUGCUUAUUUGGAAAGAUGUCUUAAGGAAGCGAAUUCAACCUCUGGUGGAUCCUUUUAACCUUCCAGAAACUUACCAUGAUGUUCAUUGGAAGAGAAAGAAGGAGUUCAUAUGCAAAGGAUCUUCUAGGCUCAGAAGAAGAAGAAGAAGAUUGUUAUCUUUCAGGAUGAAGAUGACGGUACCUCUAAGUGAGCGCCAGAAGGCAAUUGAUUCUGAAGGAUACUUCUGGAGUCGUCCAGUCUUCCAAGAUUUCAGGAAGCUCCCUUCUGAUAGCACUCCUUUAAAUUCUGAUUCAAUCUCUUGUGAAAUCAUCUUACAAAUCCUGCUCAUCUCAAUCCACUAUUUCUGAACCAAUCCAAUUCCACCACCAGAAUCAAAUCCACCAAUGUCAACUCCAAUCAUAGAAAUUCCACACCAAUAUCAAAUCCCUAUAAUAGAAACUCCUGUUACAGAAACUACCAUCACAUAAACUCCUUUAUUUUAUGCUCCUGUUUAGAAUAACAGCAUAUACCACCACCAUAUCUCCACCACAGUUACAAAUUUCACCUAUCUCACCACCACCAAAUGUUAAUGCUCCCCAACCAACUAAUCCAAAUUUUACAACACCAGAACGAUCUCCCGCAAGAAGUGUGUUCUGAUGGACACGUUUCUGACGGCACUCCGUGAAGAAUGUUUCAAUUUUUGAAACCAUAAAUCACCUCACCUGAAUCACCUCCUGUCAAUUCAAUCAAUACAUCCUUCUGUUUUUAGGUCAGACUUUAAUGAGUCCAGAAUCAAACUUGCAUUGGAUACCCAAAACUAACAACAAAAUCCUCCCAUGACUUUGGUAAGGCUCUGAAGGAUUUUGAAUCUGAAUCUAAAAGUCGGUUGAAGAAGCAUGACUGUCAGUCGUUCUUCUGCAAAUCCUGCUCGCAAGUGAUUCAGCAUGGAACUUAUAGAAGUUGGAUGAACUUCGAGAUUUCCAAGCUGGAAGGAUCUUGGAAACACUCUUGCUGAAAGCAAUUCCGUUAUGGGUUCGUUCCUUAAUGGAACUAUGGAGCUAAGAAAUUCCCAAGUAUGGCCUUCUUUCUCUAGAAAUCAAGGAAACCUCUCCAGAAGCUAUGGAAGAAGAAGAAGUUUCUCCAGAAACAGAGAUUGUUCAGCACAUUGAGUCUGCUCCAGAACCUACUGCUACUUUUGUCCCUCUCGACUAUGUUAUGGAAGAAGAUCCUACUCAGAUGGUCGUCUCAGAAGCUUCUUCGCCUCUCAGCCUAUUCUGGUUUCUUUUUCUGAGGAUAAUCGAGUAGAUCAAGGUUGAUAAUGCAAAGGUCAAAUGAGCGUGCGGAUAAGCAAGAUCUCAUGUUCCAACUGAUUCUCUCAAGGCUUCCUCCUUUUCCCACUCCUCCACAGAACCCUUAGUUUUUAUUUUCUUUACCUUCUUGAAAUUUCUUUUGUUGUACUCUUGUACUGCCUGUUGGCAUUUUAGUCAAUGAAAAUUGUUUCGUUUCUCUGAUUUUAUUUUUAUCAUUUAUCUUUUUGAUGAUGACAAAGGGGGAGAAAAACAUAACAUUCAAAAGGGAGAAGAAUUAAGUGUUUAUUUUUUGAUGUCUAAUUCCUUAAGUAAAAUCCAAACAUUGUUUAAUGCUUCUGCUAGCAAAUUACUUUGAAAAAGAGUUUGUUAAGUGUUUUGUAGGGUUAUUUCUCAAGAAUCAGAAUGGUUCUGAAAUAUGCUACUUCUAAAAUCUUGGGUUUUUGAAAAAAGUCAAGUUCUGAUAAGAGAGACCUUCAGAAGAAUCAAGGUUCUGAAAACCUUAUCCUUCAAGGAAGAAAAGUUUCUAAAGAAAAGCUUAUGUAGUAAAGCCUAUCAGAAUGAUGAUGUUAUCAACCCGUGUCUGGACAACAUCAACUAACUUCUGAAGAUAAACCAGACUCUGACUGAAUAUUCACUUUGGUGCCUCAAAAAGGUUAAUCAGGAAAGUGUUCUUUCAUUUUGAUUUUAUCUUUAUAGAAUUAUACAUCUCAGGGGAGCUUUUGUGCUUCUGUUAAGAUGUAUUCUUCCUCUAAUAAAGCGUGACACAUUGGGUGGUAACAAUUCCUUGGAAUUAGCGUCUUAACUUCUUACGCUCCCCCCUAUGACGUGUAUUAUCUUUUUGUCAUAAUUAUAAGGAUUUUCUAUUAUAAACCCACUUCACUCACAUUUUCACACUACGCGGGCAACAUCUUCCCACACUUUAAGUUUUCAACUUAAAAACAACCUCUUUUUCUCUCUGCAAAUGUUCUUCAUCUUUCAUUUCUUUUCAAAUAAAAUGGAGUGAUCAAAACAAAAAUCUCCAAGCUUCCUCAAAGGCAACUGAAAGCAACAAACAUGUUGGAAUGGGAUUCCUGAGUUACCCUUCACACUCCAUGUAAUGACUGUUAACAUUGCAAUGUGAAACCAUUGUUGAUUUCAAAAAAACCUAAAGGAUAAACAUUUUUUGAUUUCACUUGAAACUUUGACAUGGUUCCAAGGAUGGAACACCUUCUUCGAGUUACUUACGGGCCUAGUUUAACCUGUGUCAGUAAAGCAGUUUUUGGUGUUUCUGCAACUGUGAGAAGGAAACUAUCACUUCUAUGUCCAUGAAUAGGGAAUAUAGUCAUCAUUUGAGAGUCCAUAAGCUGAUCUCAUUGAUUCAUGGUGGUAAGGAAGGAGGGUUCACAGUGCACCAUCAUUGCUAAAGAGAGGAUGUUGUCAUUUUUUCCUUGUCCAUCUUCAAGAUAGAAUACCAACUUUGUGAUGGAAAAGCGGAUCCUAGUGCUAAGGACUUAACAAGAAACCUAAGGGUUGUUUCAGAUUCAUUUUGGGUUUGCCAUAACCACAUGCCACAGUACAAAUAGUUUCUAGCUUACCAUUUAUCACACGUAAUUAAAUUCAUUGUUAUUUCUUCUAGAGAAGGGUGCCAAGCUGGGACUUCCAUCAAUCCUGUUUAUGUUUCAUGAGCGGAUUUUAUCAUAGAAUCUAGAACUGUGGAUCAUCAAGAGUCUAGGAGCAAUUCAUUCCAACGACAAGAUGGAUUUCUGAUAGCCCUUUGUGGGAAAAGUGUUUGAGUGGGGUGACUGUAGCGUGUAUGGCGUCGAGCACUAUAUGAUUUAUUGAUUUAAAACCCAAAAAACCCCAAGCAUACACAUGAAUUUCGCAGAGUCGCCACCGCCCCACUUUUAUUUAUCCAAAAGGACUGGCUAAAAAAAGCGAACAAAAGCCUAAGAUGUUUUUACACAUAGAAAACUAAUAAAAGAUCAGAGCAGUCUGGUAAGGGUUAAAUUACGCAAUGGGGAAGGUUUAGGCACCCACUACGUCCUAGGUACUCCUAGGGAGACCUUUUCACACAUUGUUGUAUAAAUUGUUAUUUGUUUUGAAAUAUUUAUCGUGCAAACAUGAUUGGGAUAAAAGAUGAGGAAAAGAAUAUACAAUUUUUAUUGUUUUUGUGUCGACGGAUGAACCGUUGGCCACGUACCUUCCAUCAAGGUUUUAAGAUCAAAAAGCCGCUAUUCGGGCUAAAGAUUUCAAAGUUAGACAUGCGAUUUCAAUUAUUAAACACAAGCCUAAGGGUCUUACGUUAUCCACGGGAAAAACUCAACCUUAUACAAACAACGAGAUCCACCAUGUGAAACAGCUUCAAACUUGCUAGUGAAGGGGUUAACCCUAUAAUAAGCAAGGAAGACUUACAAUUCCAUCAAUAAGGACAAAUAGUGAGAUUUAACUCAACCAACGAGGUAUAAAUCAAACCUAUGCGCUAAUGUAUGAAAACUUAAGCAAGAAUGGACGAAGCCACAAAACAAUUGGGAAUGGUGAAGUUGUUACUUGAUUGCCUAUGCAUUAUAUCAUGGAAAGGGGGUCAAAGUUAUGAUUAGCAUUGUAUUCAAAGAAGUAUUAUUGAAAUGGAGGUUUGAAAAAGUCAAGGACUUUGGGGUCCAGGUUUUUAAUUUGAAAGCAUGAAGAUGUUUGCACAAUAUUUAUUCUCAAGUUUGAAAGCCAUGGUGUGAAAAGCGUUUAAGGACAAAUGGCAUGAAUGGAUGAAGAUGGAGUGUAAAACUUCGUAUAGAAGGUUUCACUCUUGAAAUCAUAUUAGAAGAUGCAUUCAAGUGUGUCCUUUGGAAUAGGCAAUGGCAAUAACAAACCAAAGGAAAGAAAGAAAGUCAAAAACAAAGCGCGGAUACCGGAUGCCCAAUUACUGGACUUAUUACCAAUCCCCUAACAGAACUGAGAUAUCAGAGGCCACUCUAUGGGACUUAUUACCAAUCUCCUCAACAAAGAAAUUAAAAAAGUGGAUACCGGAUGCCAAUUCUAUCUGGACUUAUACCAAUCUCCAACAACAAAGCAAACACUUGGAUGUCAGAUGCCAAUCUAUCUGGGCUUACUCUAACUCCAAACAAUGAUUCAUAGGAAAACAAAUGGCCAAUUACACGGACUUACAAUUGCAUCCUCACGAUAAACAAAACAAAUGCAUUCAAGCAAGAGAAGAUGAGUGGCCAAUGAAAUGGUCUUAUACUCACUUCCAUAUCAUAGGAACCAAUGCAAUGAAUGUCUUACAUUGUCCUCAAUGGGCAAACAACAAAGAUAUGUCACAAAGACAAAUGAUAAUGAUCAUGCACUAUUAUACAUAUAUAAUGAUUGAUAAAUGCAGAAAGCAUACAAGCAAACAUGUGCAUAUGAAAUAAGCAAUCAAUCAAAUGAGUCAUUUCAGCAACUCUAUAAACCAAACAAUUAGGCUUCAUACAAAAGGGGUUAGGCAUAAAGCCAACUUGGAAUAGGGUUAAUGCUCUCUUAACUUGCAUGAGAGCCAAGUGAAGAUAGAUGAAAGGAUGUUGAGGGCGUGUCUCAUCACUUCUUAUCCCUGAUCAGGCGAGAGCAUGGCAAUAUCAGAAGGUGUGGAUUCAGAAAGUAGGAACUCUCUCCACAAGUUAUUUGGACUCGGAUAGAAUCUCUGCGUUUUACUCACUAUGCAUCAACACAAGUAGUGUGUGAAGCAAUGUGAGUAGACUCACAAGAAGCAUUAGGAGAUAGGUUACAUAUUCUCUUUUGUCUACCAACUUUGCCAUUAUUCAAAAGGGACUUUUCCUGCUUGGGACAAGUAAACAAGCACAAACAUGCCUCUUAAGGAGACUUCAGACAAGUUGCCUGCCAAGUAACAGACCAGCGUCUUCAGGACUACAUUGAAGAAAAAAAGGAUUCUACCUCAAUGCAAAUUGCUUAUCAAGCAAAGCAAGCAAAGUUCACAGGAACUAAUAGCAACUAAAGUACCUGAAAUCAGUCAAGCACAAUUAGUAUACCAGACCACAACAGUUAAAACAAACAGGCAUAAUGCCAACAGACAAUACAGUCAAGAUUAUGUGCAAGCAACAAGCUCAUUAACAAGUGAGCUAGGCAACCUAACAAAACCCAAAACAAGUUUGUUCAUUGAUAAACAAUCAAACUCAUUCAAACUUGUAUUAUCUCUUUGGAAGCACUUUGUUGCGCUUACCUGAAAAAAAUCAAGCUUAACAUGGAGCUGACAAGGACCACUAGGACAUAGCCUUAGGGUCAAAAGGCAGUAAAAAGUUUAAAACAGAAAGGACAAGUGCCCAAAAAGUCAAGACAAAUCAAUCAAGAAGCAACCUAAGUGGUUUCACAUUCAUAAUCAUUCAUCAUAUCAUAUAUCACAACAAAUUAGUUCAAAAACAUUGUCAUAUAAGAACCUCAAAGAAGUUCACAGAAUGAUUCAACUCAAAUCCAAUCACAACAUUUUCAUAAAUUCUCAAAUAACUCCAUGAUCAAACAUCAUCCAUUAACAUGAUAAGCAUACCAAAUUCAGCUCAUUGGUAUCAAGGGAAGUAGGUCAAUGAAAAUCAGAAAGUCAAAAGCAAGUUCAAACCAACUAUUACAAACAUCAAAAAACAUUCACCAACUUCAAUAAAUCAUUAAAACAGUGACAACACUGAUAAAUGAAUGGGACUAACCAAUGACAAACUUUAAGAUGUCUAAAAUUCACAUGUUCAAAUUUUCAGUCCAUCCAAUAAUGCAUGCCAGGAUCACAAAUCAAAUAGAAAACAUGUGUCACAAAAAGUCAACAAGAUGACCAAACAGGGAGAACAUUCCAAUCAAAUAGAAAUGCCAUCAAUAAUUCCAGAACAAAAUCACAUGUGUUCUAAAAUCCAUAAGUAUGUUCAUGCAAAAAUCCAGACCCAAUUGAGUUCAAUAGCAUGGCAAAUAAAAUCAUGAAGUUGGACAUGAAUGGUUGUGACACAAAUUCGUCACACCCCUAACAAAAAAUCAUAUUUCUCAAUAACAGCAAUUGAUAAAUUCAUAAACUCUACACCAAAAUCACAUGAACAUGUCUAGGUUUAAGCCACAAAAAAUUUCAGCAGGCAUUGGAUAAGUAUCAUUCAUUUCACAAUCAAUUUGGCAAGACACAUAAUGGACACAUUGAACAAACCCUAGCACAUUUUAAAAUCCAACAUGCAAAAAAUUGGAAAAAAUCAUACAUAAAAACUAGAUAUCAUGAAAGCAUUUCCAGAAAAAUCCAUCAAAUUGAUAAAAAAUUGGUGGGACUUUAUGAUUUGGAAGAUUGGAGAUUCAAAAUGAAAUAAAAAUUAAAAAAAUGAAAUGAUUUAAAAUUAAUUUAAAACAACGGAAAAAUGGCAAAAUUUGUAAUUAUUUUGGUCCCUUAGUGAAAUGCCGCGUUUCCUUAAGGUUGUGUGUCAUCCUGUGUUGCUCAUGGCAAUAAAACAGUGAAAAAGCAUGCAAAACAAAAUUCCAGCGAGCCAAACACGAUUUUCUGGGUUUGUAAAUUAGGUUUUAAUUGGCCUUACAGUGCCCAUGUUCAUCAUCUCCAGAUUUGUCCCGCACAAACUUUUUGCAAUUAAAAACCACAAAUGGACAUACCAACAUGUUCAUCUAAUCAUGUACAUCAUCAAACAACCCAUCGAUUAACACUAUAUGAACUAACAGCAAGCAGCAUCGAGCAAAAAUACACAUUUGACCAACCAAAACUUCAAACACAGUGUUUCUCUCUCAAUAUGUAACCAUUCUCACGAUCCAAAAUGUUUCAAAAUUACUAGCAUGCAAGAUCUUUAUAAGGACCAUAGCAUGAUUUUAGAAUAGUGUUGAUGCGAAUUUUACCAGAUUUGCCAGAAACAGUGAUGAUUUGGUAGUUGUUUUGGCUCGUGUAUGGCACGAAACAAGGAUGUCCCAAUGAUGCUCCAGAUGAUGAAUGGUAUGAGGUAUUGAAGCCCAGUUACCUCAAUUCGCAGCUCAAAAAAAGAUCCAACUGCCUGGAAAUGGUUCAAUGCACGUGUUGUGUUCUUGCUGUACAGCUAGAAAUAAAUACAUGCUAAAGCUUCCAAAGGGAUGGCAUGUGAUGAAACAAAUCAACCAAGAUCGGGGCUCUUUGCCAAGAUUUUCAGAAAAAAAAGUCAAUAUCUGUGAAGAAAAUGAGAGCUUGCAGAUGAAAAUGGAGGUUUUUGUUCUGUUUGUUGAAAUAGUGGCUAGGGCUUCUCAUCAGAAAGGAAGCAUAUUUACUUCUGUUUAGUAUGCUAGUUUGGGUUAGAGUGUAAUUGCAUUUAGCUCAAAAUGAAGUGUUUUUUGGUAAUUUUGUGGAUUUCACUCAAAUGCAGCUGCGAUGAGCCUACAGUGCGAAUUUGGGCUUCUAACUGGCACAUCUCCAAAAUGUGAUCUUCUGAACAUUUUCAAUUGCGCUACAAAAUCGUUGGAAAUGGAUAUAAUUUUGAAAAUUCUUUUUCACCUCACCUCUUUUUAUGCAGCUACUGAAAAAAGACCUGUUUGAUUGGUUGAGUUUUUUGGUAAAUGUGAUGAAGGAUUUGGAUAGAGCACUCAAAUAUGACUGUGUAGCCAAAAACCUCACUCAAUUGGCCAAAAUGGUUUGGAAGAUAUGCCCACUUUUGCAAGUUCAAAUUUUUGAGAAUGAUUCUAAAUUUAUAAACCUUGCCAACCAAAAUGAGAAAUGAGUGUUCUUGGACUUUUUGGAAGGGCGAGACACAAGAUCUUCAACUUUCAUUUGUUGGGAUCACAAGAUUCAUUUGAAGCUUGUAUUGAUGAGAAUAUAUGAGGAGCAAGAACUUUCCAUUUUUGGCUAAAUCUCCAAUUAAUGGUUCAACUUUCUAUUUUUGGAAAUUUUCUUGUCUGACUUCAAAAUUCUUCACUGUGGAUGUUGGACAUGUUAAUGAGGCUUAUAUGCACAUGAAUGGAGACUUUCAGGAUCCAAUUCCACCAUCAAAUCACUGAUUUAAAAUGGACAGUUGAACCCAGUGAUUCUGUUGACUUUGCCUAGGGUUUGGCUGACUGAACAUGUUCUGAUGGAAUCCAAGCCCCUACCCACUUGAUAUUCUUGAUCCAAAAUGAUGUCACAAACUCAUAUGAACUCUUGAUGAAUGAUCAUGGUGCCCAAAUCUGUCAAGAAUGGCCCACCAUCACUUGCUUCAAUGACUGGUUGACUGAUUUGGACCUAAUUGCCUUCAUUCUGCACAGUAAACAUUGGUUAGCAUGACAAUUUUUUGUACCUUUGCGUUAAUAGACAGCAAUUGAAAAGCAAUGAUAUACAAAUCAAUACAUGCUUGGUUGAUCAAAGACACCACACCACAAAUAAACCACCACUAGUGAGGAAGCAAGGGUGACUACAAAGACCUUGAGCAAAUGUGUUUAAUAUGAUAUUGAUAUGAUGCCAUGAGGAUCUUAGGAAAAUUUGGGGUCUUACAAUGACCUUCUAGUCAGUGGGUUGACAGAAGAGCUGUGUGAAGCGAUGUGUGGUAAAGUCUUAUGGGGAAGAAUUCUGAAGAUAGGCGUCUUAUCUCAAAUUUCAAAGUUCAAAUGUCAAUUUCUGACUAAAGGUGAUAUAUGUGUAACAAGAAAAUCCCAUUGAUAAACUUACCCCUUUAUUAACCAAAAUUGACCCUCCACAUGUUUCUGAUGGCUUAUUGGAAAAGAUGUCUUAAGGAGAAUUCAACCUCUGGGUGGAUCCUGUUAACCUAUCCAGAAACUUACCAUGAUGUUCAUGGAAAGAGAAAGAAGGAGUUCAUAUGCAAAGGAUCUUCUAGGGCUCAGAAGAAGAAGAAGAAGAUUGUUAUCUUUCAGGAUGAAGAUGAGGUACCUCUAAGUGAGAGCCAGAAGGCAAUGAUUCUGAAGGAUACUUCUGGAGUCGUCCAGUCUUCAAGAGUUUCUAGGAAGCUCCCUUCUGAUAGCACUCCUUUAAAUUCUGAUUCAAUCUCUUGUGAAAUGAUCUUACAAAUCCCUCCUCCAUCUCAAUCAACUAUUUUUGAACCAAUCCCAAUUCCACCACCAAAAUCAAAUCCACCAAUGUCAACUCCAAUCAUAGAAAUUCCGCCACCAAUAUCAAAUCCCAUAAUAGAAACUCCUGUUACAGAAAUUACCAUCACAUAAACUCCUUUAGUUUAUGCUCCUAUUUUAGAAUAACAACAUAUACCACCACCAUUAUCUCCUCCACGGUUACAAAUUUCACCUAUCUCACCACCACCAAAUGUUAAUGCUCCCCAACCAACUAAUCCAAAUUUUACAACACCAAGAACAUCUCCCGCAAGAAGUGUUUCUGAUGGACACGUUUCUGACGGCACUCCUGAAGGAAUGUUCAAUUUUGAACCAUAAAUCACCUCACCUGAAUCACCUCCUGUUAUUCAAUCAAUACAUCGUUCUGUUUUUGGUCCAGACUUUAAUGAGUCCAGAAUCAAACUUGCAAUUGAAUACCAAAAACUAACAACAAAAUCCUCCCAUGACCUUGGUAAGGUUCUGAAGGAUUUUGAAUAUGAAUCUAAAAGUCGGUUGAAGAAGCAAUGACUGUCAGUCGUUCUUCUGCAAAUCCUGCUGCAAGUGAUUCAGCAUGGGAAGCUUAUAGAAGUUGGAUGAACUUCGAGAUUUCCAAGCUGAAGGAUCUUGGAAACACUCUUGCUGAAAGCAAAUUCUGUUAUGGGCUCGUUCCUUUAAUGGAACUAUGGAAGCUAAGAAAUUCCCAAGUAUGCCUUCUUUCUCUAGAAAUCAAGGAAACCUCUCUAGAAGUUAUGGAAGAAGAAGAAGUUGCUCCAGAAACAGAGAUUGUUCAGCACAAUGAGUCUGCUCCAGAACCUACUGCUACUUUUGUCCCUCUCGACUAUGUUAUGGAAGAAGAUCCUACUCAGAUGGUCGUCUCAGAAGCUUCUGCCUCUCAGCCUAUUCUGGUUUCUUUUAUGAGGAUAUAUAAUGCAAAGGUCAAUGAGCGUCGGGAUAAGCAAGAUCUCAUGUUCCAACUGAUUCUCUCAAGGCUUCCUCCUUUUCCACCUCCUCCACAGAACCCUUAGUUUUUAUUUUCUUUACCUUCUUGAAACUUUUCUUUUGUUGUACUCUGUACUGCCUGUUGGCAUUUUAGUCAAUGAAAAUUGUUUCGUUUCUCUUGAUUUAUUUUUUAUCUUUUAUCUUUUUGAUUGAUGACAAAGGGGGAGAAAAACAUAACAUUCAAAAAGGGGAAGAAUUAAGUGUUUAUUUUGAUGUCUAAUUUCCUUAAGUAAAAUCCAAACAUUGUUUAAUGCUUCUGCUAGCAAAUACUUUGAAAAAGAGUUUGUUAAGUGUUUUGUAGGGUUAUUUCUCAAGAAUCAUAAUGGUUCUGAAUAUGCUACUUCUAAAAAUCUUGGUUUUGAAAAAGUCAAGGUUCUGAUAAGAGAGACCUUCAGAAGAAUCAAGGUUCUGAAAACCUUAUCCUUCAAGGAAGAAAAGUUUCUAAAGAAAAGCUUAUGUAGUAAAGCCUAUCAAAUGAUGAUGUUUAUCAAGCCGUGUUGGGACAACAUCAACUAACUUCUGAAAGAUUAAACCAGACUCUGACUGAAUAUUCACUUUGGUGCCUCAAAAAGGUUAAUCAGGAAAGUGUUCUUUCAUUUUGAUUUUAUCUUUAUAGAAUUAUACAUCUCAGGGGGAGCUUUGUGCUUCUGUAAGAUGUAUUCUUCUCUAAUUACCCUGUACAAAGCUGAUCAUCAGAAUACAUAUUUUGUCAUCAUAAAAAAGGGGGAGAUUGUUAGAACAAUAUUUGGUUCUGCAUCUAUACCUUGAGUUUUGAUGAUAACAAUAUUGUAUUUGUGUGAGAACAGUUUUGGUACCCUAACAGUUUGUUAUUGUGUAGCUUUAACAACCAGUUCUGAUACUGAAUAUAUGAUGUGAAACAUCAUCAAUUUCUGAACAAUGUGCCUCUAAAUCCGCUUAUGCGCAAAGUAUUAGAAGUUCUGAAAGAUGUCAUUAUUGAUGCUGCAAUGUUCUUUCUACUUCUGAGUUGUUUCACUCAUUAGAAGCUUCUGAGGAGACUUUAUGUUGCUGCUGCAAUAAUCUCUUAGUUCGUGCUUCUGGAUGUGACUCUAAUAACCAAACUUCUGAAGAAUGGCAAGCUUAUGAAUUUGUGUUAUGAAGCUGAAGAUUCUGAAGAUCUCAAGCCAGAAAGUUAAAGCUAUCAAGGUUCUGACUAAGGAUUCUGAAGACUCUGAAGAUUUUGAAGAUACUGAAGACCUCAAGCCAGAUUACUUACGUUGUCAAGGUUCUGACCCAAGGUUUUGAAGUUUUUGAAUCCAGCUCACUACUUCUUCAUUUCAUGCUUCAAUCAUCUUUAAUCAUAAGCCAAUGAAUUUGAAGAUAAGAUCAAAAUGGGAACGUGAUCAAAUAGUACAUGGUACAAAUCGAACAACUUUUCCACUACCUGAUUUCAUGGGCAAGGGCAGUACUAUACAUCACACCUAUCACUGAAUUUGUGGGCAAAAGGAUAGUACGCAAUACCAUUCCUUUCCCAUCCAAUAGUGGAUAGCCGCUCAAAGGAGCUUUCCCUGUUUUUCCCUUCAAUGGUCACAUGCUUACGUUAUAUAAGCAUGCAUUGGACACUUGAAGAAAACGCUGAUUUGCACAAGUAUUUUGACAAGCUACUUUUCUUUGUGAAAAACUAUCAUUCUUUGUAUACAAAUUUCUUUAAGUGUUUGUUAUUCAUUUAUGUAAAAUUUGCUUGUGUAGAAGUAUCUUGUAACACACUAAAUAAUUUUCAAACUAUUUGUUUGAGUCCUUAAGGAGGUUAUCCUUGAGAAGACAAAGAAAGUUGUUCUUUGUGAGUCCUUAAGGAGAGUAAGGUUUAGUUGGAUCCUUGAGAAGACAAAGAAGGUUAUUCUUUGUGUUUAUUGUAAUAUGUUGAUUGUAGUGGAUUAAUUCUUUGUGUAUAAGGCAAAAUCACCUUGACGGGUGGACUGGAUUAACUUUGAAUUCAAGCGAACUAGGAUAAAAAUCAUUGUGUUUUUAUCUCUUAGUUAUUAACUUGUUAGUGAUGUUUUUGUUUUGGAAAAAUCUUUUGCUUGUAAAACCCAACUCAAACCCCCUAUUUCUUGUGUUUUUCACACCUUUAAUACAUGUAUUUGGCAUGAAUGAGUGCAGAUGAAUCUCAAACCAAAAGUCAGAUGAAAAAUAAAAAGGGGAGGGUAAAUUUUGGGAUAUGACAGGAGGCUUUGGAAAAAAUCAAAGAUCAUGAAGAACAAGAAUGGGUAUAGCUUAGGAAUGAAGGAACUAUAUGGAUUAGGGUCAGGGUUUAGUUGUUAGGUAGUUAACUAUGGUCAACUGGUCGACCAAAAAGUCAACAUUUAACCAAAGUCAACUGUUAGGUCAAAAGUGUGAUUUUGUGUAAAAAAAAGAUUUGUAAUCUGGAUUUUGUAAUGUAAUGGGAUGUUUGAUGGUUUGUAAUACAAAUUAGUAUUUAUAAAUGAACUAUGGAUUUUGUGACUUGUGUUCCCAAUAAUAUGCUUUCCCCCAUAAGCAUGAGUGCUUCAUGAUCAUUUGAAUCUUACCAAAAAUGAAACUUGAUCUUGUAUGAAUGACAUUUCAUGAACCAAGCAAUAAAAAUUAGUAAUCAUUGAACAUGAUCACCAAAAGUUAAAUUUAACAAUGACCUUUUAAAAACAACCAUUCCAUGAUGCAAACCCAACAUGAUCAAAGAUCACACCAAUGAUUAGGGUUUCACGAGAUGAAUAACCCAAUUCAAUGUAAUACAAUCCCAAAGCUUGAUCCCCAUAUAUGUCGUGGAAGUAAACCCUAGCCCAUGAGACUUGCCAAGCCAAUUUGACAAGAAUCCAACCUUUGUGUCAUAAAUAGCAAGAACUUUUGAAUCAAUGAUAUGCAUGCAAUUGUGAAUGAAUAUCUUAUGAUGAAUUAUUAGGGCAUAUGAUCAUGCAGAUGAAAUGAUCCAUAUGCCAGAUGAAAUUGAAAAAAGUAGGGUAAAUUUUGGGGGUAUGAUAGGUAGUAAUUGUCAAGUCGGCCUGACUGAUGUUAUCACUUAUCAGGGUCUUUAUCCUCUAUGGAGAGCUCGGCUUUGACUCCCUAGGAGGAAGAUUGGAGGCAUGCUAGGGCUCUGAAACAACAUGGACUACUUUGAUAAUGUCCAUCUUCUUCCUUUUGAGAGUUCGAGUCUGAAUACCCGACAAAUCGCUCUUAGAGGCAGACUGUUCUCCACGGCUUGCUCUUGCUUCAUUCAUAAACUUCUUUUGUUCUGAUAGUUUAAAAUUCGUCAUGUCAGCUGGAAAGAAAAAGACAAAAUAAAGUUCAGAAAAAUAAAAUAAUAAGGUUAUCAAAGAACAAUAAGGAGCAUAUACAAGUAUUACCCAUGAAUUUAGAAAUUUGUUCUGGGUUGUCGACCACAUGUAGCAAGUCCUUAACUUUGACUACUCGGAAAGCAUCCAAAAUGUCUAAGGCUCAGAUUUCUAGAGCGUUCAACUUACCAUAAUCAAAACCAGAAUCGACAAUGGGCUAUCCGACCAAUAAAUCGAGAAACAAUAGUUCUCGUCCAAUGCAUAUAUAACUUGGGGACACUUUUCCACACUUUUCACUCGAAGGAACUUAUCUUUGAAACCCUUAUAGUUGAUAGUACAAGCCUGAAGGAAUCUCUUCCUUGGAAUUCCGCUGAGGGAGACCCAACCUCUUUUUUCCACUCCCUUCAUCUCAAAGAACGAGAAAAACAAACCUAAGGUGGGAGUUAUAUCUACCGCAUCGCAAGCGAGUUCAAAAGCUUUGAUAAAGCCCCAACCAUUUGGGCGUAACUGAGAAAGGGUUAUAUUUAGGGUUUUGAGGAGGUCAGAUUCAAAAUCAGUAAAGGGGAUACGAACUUUAAAGUCCUAGAUUAUCCCUGUGUAGAAGUACAAAUACUCAUCAAGUACUCCUUUUGGCCGAGUGAUACAGACCCUCUCACCAACCACAUAAGGUUCUAAUACAACAUCCUCCUCGUUCUUAGUGGAGGAAACUGAAAUAUUACAGUGAAGCUUCGAUAUAUAGUUGUCGUCGAUGACAUUGUGGUCGUAGCUUAGAACCUCUUUAUCAAUCAAAGAUCAUGAUGUCUCCAUCAAAGUAUCCAUAAAACUUAAUGACGAAGACUAUGAGUUAGUAUUACUACUAUGUGAAGGGAUCUCGCCAUAAACUUCUCUAAUAAUGUGGUCAAACUCCUCUCGAAUCAGAUGACCCUCACAUUUUUUCAUGCAUUCACUCCAGAUUUUAUUUCUCACAUUAGCAGUAAGAGAAACCGGGUACUUUCCUAAAUAGUCACAAUCUUGUAUUAUAACCAUAACAAGGAAUAAAGAGAGAGAGAGAGAGAGAGAGAGAGAGAGAGAGAGAGAGAGAGAGAAGGCAAAUGAAAACAAUAACAAUGACUUGAGCCUGCAGAAAGAGCGAGUGUUUGAUGAAGCAAAAAGAAACUCAUCAGCAAACACUUGAAGGAAGAUCACUAGCUUUGGCGAACAAACAAAGGAAGAAAAUAGUCGAGUCAUUUUAUUUGAAAUAAGUUUACAACAGUCAAGAAGUUGUAUCGGGCAAAGGUAACGAUGACAAGUUGGAGUUCACACAGUAACUCACCGAAUAGGUGAUCGGCUCAAGAAAGAAGAAAUUCUAAGAUUUUCUUGUUUGGACACUUCAAUCCUAUUAGACCUUGUGAUCGAGGGGCUUAUGUACAUCUCAGAAUUCCCAAAGGCUGAGCUUUUGCAGACCGAGUACAAAGAAGCAAGCAAGUCAGAUAAACAUAACCCUAGACAAGACGGAACCCGGAUAGGGAAAACAUAACUACAAAUUUAGCAUGUCAGAAAUGGUCUCAUAAUAACUCUGGCAGAGGAGCAAGUCGGAUCCGACCUCAUGAAAAGUGCUAGGAAGCUAUAUGAAUAGUCACAAAGGACGGUUACGAAAUAUCUCCAUGAUUGCAUGAGAGUUAUAGAAGUUAAAGGAGAAGUCAUUACUUGGUAGUUAUGGGAGGCGGCAGAUGUUACCAGAGUCAUUUUAACAAGGGAUAUGAAGAGGCAUCCCUUUAAAGGCCAUUGAUGGGCAAAUAAGUAUAAAAGAGAGACUUCCCCAACGAGGAAAGAGGAUAACUAAUACCUCCUAACAAAUAUACCUCCUAAUAAAAUAGGACGAUUGUGACCUCACCUGGUUAGCUUCAGGGAGGUUUCUCCAAAUAGUAUUUAGCAAGAACAAAUAUUUUUUAUGGACCUUUGAUCAGCUCAAACAUAAUGCACGGUCAAAAUUGAUGCUAAGUGAAUGUACAAUUAUGUAAUGUUAAAAGAAAAAUGAGUUAUUAUCUUAAAAAAAAGUGAAUUGCCAGUCAUAUGACAUUUAACAUGUCAUGAAUGCCUUGUUAACUUCGUUAAAUAUCUUUAACUAAUAGAUAAAACUAGUUGAAAAUAUAUUUAACAAAAAUAAGUGUUAAUUCGAAAUAUGGCUUAAAUGUCUUUUUGUUUAUGUAAGUUGAUGAGUUUUUGUUUUAAAUUUUUAAUUUUGUUUUGUUUUGGAAAUAAUCCUAAAUGUUAAAUCUUUUGGUUUUAGUCUUUGAAAUUAAAAAUCGCAUGAAAAUCUGCAGGUUUUCUGCGGAUUUUUCUGAUGAUUUAAAUUUGUAGGUUUCAUGCGAUUUUUUCUUCAAAUUUUUAUGUGGAUUCUCACUUUAGAAACUAAAAACUAAAAUAAUUUUAAUAUUUGGGAACUAUUUAAAAAAAUUUAGAAAUUGAAAAGAAACACGACAACUUAUUUGGAAAAAAAAAUCUUUUUAAAUCUUUUUAAAUCUUUUUUAAAAUAUUUAUAAAAUUGUGAUCCUAUUUAAGAAAGACUUAGAAAGACAUAAAUUAUUUAAUAAUUUUUUUUUGGUUAUUUAUAUUAAUAGUGAAGAAUAUAGAAAAUGUUCACACAAAAAAAAUAUAUUAGAGAAAAUUUAUAAAAAUCUUAGUUAAUGGUGGCCAAUUCACACACCCAACUUAUAGGUCACCAAAUGCAGUUUUGUUACAUACCUUCUUUUUUAAUUUGCAACAAAAAGAAACGUGAUUGGAUAAGGACCCGAAUGCCACGUGGAGAUUGAAGUUUCACAGAAGUGGUGUAUUCACACGUCACAGAUUCCACUUUUCACCUUUUCUAGAUAUAUACGCUUCCUAAAUUAAUUGGUUAUGGAAAUGUCCAUAGAACGAAGUAUCCAUGCAAUGCAACUUUUGGUUCUUUCUGUUAGGCAAAAUUACAUUUUUACCCUUUCUUUUGACCAAUUUUAUUUGUUCUUAUUCUGAAAAUUAUUCCUUCUAGAUUAAUAUGAAUUGAAUAUAGACAGAUAGGCAAAUUUUAGUUUUAAUUCAUUUCAAAAGUUUGUUUCAUAGUAAUAUAUUUCUAGCUAAUUAAACUCCUCUUUUUUGGCAUAUAGUACGUGUAAAACAAAACGAAUCAAAUGAGAUAAAGUGCAUAACGAUUUAACGCGUAAAAGUUGUGUAACAAAAGUGGACCCCACCCCAACACAACAUAUUCUUAUGUGUAUAUAAAACUAACAAACUCAAACGUGUUCAAUUGUGCUUCGAUUUCCACAACCUCACAAACAAAAACCUUUUAAGGUUUCUUUUCUUCCACUGUUGGUUCCAACUCCAAAUCAUGUCUUUCUCUCAUGCAACUUCCAAAUCGCAACCACGCAAGAAAACAAGCUUUACAAAACGGUGUAUUUCUAUGACGAAGCAACAUAGAGGGCGAUUCUAUAUCUUUGGAAGAUGUGUGGCUAUGCUUCUCUGUUGGCACAACCAUACUGUUUCUGAUUAGGUUUUUGUUUUUGAGGUUCAACAGUUAUGGAAGAAGAAGGUGGAAUUGAAGAUAAAUCUUUGAACAAGAUGGCAAUGGCGGCUCUAAUUUUUGAAGAGCGUAACAAAAUUUUGAAUAUAUAUGAUAAUAUGAUUAUAUAUUAUAUAUUAGUUUUUUAUUGUUAGGUUUUCUGGUUUUCAAUAUUUAGUGGAGAUAGUUUUAUUUUAGAAUUUUGGGUACUAAAUGUGAAUUAUGUUUUUGUUUGAUACUGUAGUUAGUUUUGCCGUAUUUUGUUUCUUUUUGGUGACAUAGAAUCAUUGGAUGAUUGUGGUUUAUGUAAAAUCAUAUUAUGGAAUGUAGUUGAUUUGGAGUUUACACAUUUCUAACUAAAAUUAUGAUGAGGCACAGAGUUCAACUUGCAGUCUGCAGCCGAAAAUGCAGCUGCAGUAUAAAGAUUUUAGAGAUCUUAACAAUUGUGUUAGGCAUUAUCAACAAUAUUUGCUACAAUUUCCCCCUAAUUUUAAAGUUGAGAGGAUAAUUAUAAUAAGAGUGUCA
Molecule: long non-coding RNA, 65319 nt
Filed under: Lathyrus oleraceus (garden pea)
Lineage: Eukaryota; Viridiplantae; Streptophyta; Magnoliopsida; Fabales; Fabaceae
Description: Pisum sativum (pea) long non-coding RNA (PSAT_LNC042404)
Source: RNAcentral